UCUCAAUUAAGAAGAGGCAUCCAGGCUCACAAAAUCAAUCUGAAAACACAUGCACUGAUGCACACUUGUGUUUGUGUAGAGGCGCUUAUAUAUCAUCCAAAAGACAAGUCACUCACACGCAAAUUCGCAUUGGCUAACAGAAGCUAUUUGGAAUGCAGUUCAGUCGACUAACAACGUAGGUACCCCCGUCUCCUUGUUUUGCCGAUGUUGGCGAUGCCAUCAUAUGUCAGCAGCAAGGAAGUUGCCAGACAAGGAAACCUGCCAAUCGGAGAAGCAGCAGCAGUGAACGUUCAAGAUCCAGAGUACAAUCGACAGACAUAUUUUGAUCUCCUCGAGAAUUCUAUCAGGGGAGGAGACGAGUAGAACUGUUUUACCUUCUCGCCAGGCUUGAAUGGUGGAAGACCUCUGUAGGGACAGGUUCCACAGCGGAAGGCAUCACCCAACCCACACUGCAAAGAAAAAUCAAGGAUCAUUUACAGAUAUCACCAGACGUGAUAGGUAACCUAGUCCGAGUGAACGUAUGAAAUUUCACGAGGGGGCACAAGUGCCACCUGUAAGCAAUACUUACACUGCCACAAGCUGACUGAGGGUUAUUGAUCUGCUCCGCAGUGAGCUCCAGCUUCCCAACCUUCUCCUCGGCCUCAGCCCUGCCACAAGUACAGUUCUUGCAUGCUUUCUUUGCUGCCCCCACCUCACAGUCCCCAACUGGUGAAAACAUCAGUGAAAACAUCACUUAACUGUUUAGGAUCCAAACCUAAACUGGCUAUUGCUUACGGAGUUGAACUAAGUUGACGGGUUUUGUUGCUCUACCAACUGGAAGUUGUGGUUUCUUCAGGUCCUCCUCAGUCAAGAGACUGUCUUCAUCAAUCAGAUCAGAGUCGUCGUCAAUUUGAAUCUUGGGAAGGGCUUUUGUUGUUUUCUUAAGGGGAAAAGAAGAGCCCAUGCUCCAGCUAGCCUUCUUUGCCUUAACCUACAAGUGGUUCAAAUUAGCACAAAAACUAAAGCCUGCACAGCAAAACUAACAUACUAUAACACAUGAUCUUAGACCACUCACUGUAACAGAUUGCACGCUAUCCUGCGAGCUUGCAGCAGAAGAUUGCACUUCAGCAAAUCCACCCAUCAGUAACUUGCGCUCAAUAUCAGUGUUCGGCUAACGGAGACAAUCAUAAAAAAAUUAAGAACUUUAAAUCGACAUUGCAAGAGAAACGAGACAACAAAGACAGAUUCUGAUAAGUUAAUACCUUCUGACUGGAUGAGGGUGCAGGGCUCUGCACCAAUACUCUUCCACCAGCUUUCAGCACCCGCCUGAUUUCAGCAACCAAUUGCUCCCUCAAGCUUUCCACGUUUUUAAUGACUGCAAGAACCGCACCAACUGAUGCAUCUUCAAAAGGCAACUUCCCACCUGAUGCAUGGCAGAACAAUAGUUUGGUCACGGUUUUGUGAUAACACACACACACACACACACACACACACACACACACACACACACACACACACGGCAUAGCACUAGCAAAGCAUAACACAAAUUAAAAAUCGAACAUUAUUGUUUAAUAGAGGCUCCCAAAAUCAGGAAUGCUAGCACUUGGCUUAUUCAUAAACACACACAUCCAUAAUCAGGAAGCAUACAUUACUGAACCAUUAAAUUUAAUAAUAAAAAUUCAGAUGUUGAAUCCAUGGCUGAAAUUUUCUGUUCCUUUUGAAAGUAUAAUCCUAACUUUCAUCUCCGGCUGACCUGGUAAUAUCUUCUAGCUCCUUUUACCUUAUAUUUUUUUCAGUUGCUUGAGAAAUAGCGGUAGGAAAAUUGACACAUGUCAUUCGUAAAUCCAUGGGACUUAGAGCAACUCCAAGAGCUUCCUAAGAAAUUGUUCCCCAAAACAUCAUAUAGGGGGCUGCUGAAAAAAAUCCACUAAGAGCAACUCCAAAUGAGUGCUAGAAAAUUUCCCCAAAAAAUGAUUAUUGGGGAUAUGUUAAAAAAUUUUAGGGGUGAAUUAUCAUGUAUACUCCAACGAUUCCGUUAAACAAAUGCGACUCAAUCUCAGCCACAGUCUGAGUCUUACAGACACACACAAAACCUAACAUGCCGGUGGCAGCCACAUUAUCACACACCGGAACAAAUAACUUUGAGGCAAAAACACAUUAUGCAAGCAGAGAAACACCAGAACAGACUCCCAGCUGUUGAAGUGCAAAUGUGUUUUCUAUAUUUGAGUUACUUGCUGGUAAAUCCCGAUCGGGAAUGUAAUAAUCGGGGAGUUGCAUUAGCACUUUUGCAGCAAGCUAAGCCAACUGGUUGGGAAUGUCAAGCAUUCUUGAGCAGGAGUACUAGUCAAGUUAACAGGCUUCAGAUCCCAUCCAAUCAUUGUCACAUUUGAAUAUAACUUGAGCGGGUAGAAAAAAUAUCAUAACAAAGGCAUCAUGGACUGAAUCCUAAACAUCAUAACGAAGGCAUCAUGGACUGAAUAGCGAUCAUCAUAACAACGGCAGGAAACAGACUCCCAACUGAAUCAUGGUUAACAUGGACUGAAUUGUGGUGGCACUGCAUGCAGUGCGAGAUGCAUCAUAUCCAGGUCAAUUCAGGUUAGCAAAUGCAAGGCCACAGGAGUUGCCGCCAGGGAGGAGGCUCUAGGCGAGGUCACGGGAGUUGCGGUGGAAGUUGCUGCGGAUUGGGGAAGACCUUUGCUCGCCAAUAUUUGAGGGAGAGUGGAGCUCGGAUGCGGGACGCUGAUAAUUUGGGGGAAGGAAAGGGGAACUAUUGGGUGGAGAAUUUUUUGUUUUUCACCCCAAAACAUGUUUUUGGGUUGGUUUUAGCGUUCUUCUGGAGAUGCUCUUAAGCAACUAGCACAUGAGACAUGGCAUAGAUAUCAAGAACUGCAAGGAGAGGUUCAAGUUCAAAUCUGAAGAAGUCUGCAAGGGCAUGUCCACAGAUUCAGCGGUUUUGGAGUUGGGAAAUAACUUCAGCUUUCUUUUCUUUUUGUUGUUGAGACGUUCUUUUCUUUUUCUUUUUUUUUUGUUGUUGUUGAGGCGUCAGCUCGACGUUUUCAUUCUACACAUUAGAAAGUGGCAGUAGCGCAAGAGAUACCACAGGGCCAAAACUACUAGUGGUACUGAAAGUUUUCAUUCGAAGAAUCAGUAAGUGGCACUAUCACAGGAAGAAACAUUGCAAGGCCAAACUUGGCGUCCACUGACUGCGCUUCAAUAUUACUUGAGCAACUUGCUAGCCUCCCGAUCCCGGAAGGAUGGUUUGAUAAACUAAUUCUCUAAUUGAAGUGGGAACCCUUAAGAACCAAACGUCCACUACUCCAAAUUUGAUUGCAAAAGAAAAAAGAAUCUAGCCCAUUCCGCGGAAUCACGCCAGAAGGCUCGCUAAUUGAAGCAUGCAAGCAAGGCAGCAAAGAGAACAGCACGCAUCGACGGGUUCCUGCAUCCACAAGCACGAACUUGGCAACUUGCCAUGGUCGCCUCGAGGGAAAGAAAUAGAAGAAAAAAUGGAAAGAGGGCAAGACGGGGGCGAAACCAGCUAAGCUCACCGAGCGCCGCGCACUGGGUGAUGACGGCGACCUCCUCCCGCGAGACCUCGGCGGCGGCCGCUAGAUCCCCCACCGCCCGGAUCGGCAGGGCCACCUCGUCCGUCACCGCGAGCGCCGCCGACAUGGAGUCAAAUCUGCACACGAGCACACGCCGAGAACCAGAAGAGACUCGGUGAAAGGAGUAUCCCCGAAGAGAAAAGGAAUUAGGGUUAAUCGAGGGAGGGUUUUAUCUGCACGCCCCCGGAUUCAUCACGCGACUGCUACCUGAGACGAUAAGACGACGACGAAGGCGAAAUUUGAUUUGGGUUUUGCCUGGCCUCCUCUCCUCUCGAAGCUUCACAACACGCCGAGUUAUUUGAUAUUGUAACAAUCUCGUCGCGCGGCUUCACCAGUUAUUACUCCGUAGUUAUACUUCGCUAGUUUAGUAUUAUGGAGCUCAAAGCCACGCCAGAUUGGGACUGUUAAUCUUCCGUCGUCCUCUGUAACCUUCUAUAAGCUACGGUAAAAAUCAAUUUUGUCCACGACGAUGUUGUAAUCUAUCUCUACAUUCUGGAGAUGGCGGACAGGGGACGACGGAAGCGAGAAAGAAGACAGCGACGGAAGCGAGGAAGAAGCCACUUGUGUAGGAUACCUCGGGGCGGCCGUUCUCGGCGCAUCGGAAGCCGAUGUCGAGGAACCCCAUCGCCGCCGCCAGCCCAGACCCAGUCCCCGUCGAACAGGUCGCACUCCUCCUCGUCGCCACUCCCCGCCGCCGCGAUGGAGACCCCACCGGCCCAGAGCAGCAGCAGCGCGGCGGCCACCACGGCCAGCACCGCCAUCUCGGCCUUCUCCCGCCGCCCCUUGGAAGCCCGCCGCAGCAGGCGCUUCACCGGCGAGCCCGACAGCAUUGCCGCCGCCUGCCUGGUGCCUCAGCGCGCGGGGCUGGCCGCGCGUAUCUCCCAGCCGAGCUCCUGCUUCCAGUCGUGGUCCUCAGUGCGCGGGGCUCCCUCCUCGGCCUCUGCUCCUCCGGCGCCCGGUUCCCAUCGCCGCUCUCUUCCCCAGCGCGUCUUCUUCCCCAGUCGCGCCCUGCCCUCUGUUCUGCUCGCCGCGCCCUGAACCUUGCUCCAGCUCGCCGGCUGGAUCUCCCUGGUGCCGCGCCCCUGCUCAUCUUCCUCGCGCGCGCUCCUCCCCAUGGCCGGCAGCAGGCAGGCAGGUCCUAGCAGACUGCGAGACGGCGGUUGCAGCGGUUCUCCUGCUCGUCACGGUUGCAGCGGGAACCGCGGCCGGCCCUGCUCAUCUUCCUCGUCACGGUUGCAGCGGCUGCGAGACGGCGGCACGCGCUCUGUUUUCUUGGUCUCUCGCGCGGCAAGGGAGUACUCCGGCCAGGGGUAGAUUAGUACGAAGGGAUACACAACCUGCAUCAAGAGCAACAAAACAGACGUUAAUAGAGUGCGGGAGAUUAACGGUCCCAAUCUGGCGUGACUUUGAGCUCCAUAAUACCAAACUGGCGAAGUACAGCUGCGGAGUAAUAAACUGGUGAAGCCGCGCGACGAGAAUGUUACAAACUCAAAUAACUCCAAGACGCCAGUAGGUGUUGGCGUUCGGUUCUUCGAUUCCGCAGAAAUUCGGUUAUUUAAAAACUAAAAUUGAAAUAGCAAAAUAAAGAAACUAGAUUCGACUAGUUCGAUUCUUGGUUCUUCGGUUUGGUUUUUCGGUUCUAACCGAACUGUACAAUCACUCUAAAAUUCUAAAAUGUCAACUUUUGUAAGAAAUUUCAGUAGCAUCUCUCCACAAACAACCACAAGUGUACAAUGCCUAGAAUUUUAUAAAUAAUACAUGGAUGAUUAGAGAUUCAACCAUAUAUGCAUCACAUCUGAAAUGAGAGAAAUGAAAGCAAUAAAUAAUUUAUUCGUCAACACAAACAAUAAAUAAAAGAGAUGGUAUAUUGAAUCUGGUACUUUUGGUUAUUUCGGUUAUUUGGAGUGCAGAACUGAAAAUAUCUAAUUUAUUUCGGUUCUCAAAAAACCAGAACCGAAUUCAUAAUGGUUCAUUCGGUUUGGUUAGUUCAAUUUCAGUUCUCGGUUAUUUCGAUUCGGCUCCUCGGCUCCGGUUCUUUUUGCUCGGGCCUAGACGCCAGGUCCGGCAGGUGGGAAGUUGCAAAAGGGGAUCACGAUCGCCAGGGGAGGCACGCUGUGAUUUGGCCGCGGGGGGUUUCCGGGGCACCCACGACCGGAGGGAGGCAAUGAGGCCGCGGAUAAGCGGAGAGCCCACACAGUGGGAGUGACAAAAUAGCAAUUUUUCGGCAGAGGGCGGGUUGCUUUUCGCUUGGGCCGUGAUAUUUGGGAGGGCCAGCCGGCCUCGGGUUCGUGGACGUGGAGGAAGCCAGGUGCUAGGCUCGGCAGUGGCGGGCAGACUAGAGGCACGCGCCUGCCCGUGAGACAAGCGGACAAAUCAACACUACGGGGCUGUUUGGUUUGCUGCAUAACUUGCCACAGUUUGCCACGCAUAAGGUUAGACAAUUUUGACCAAGUUAGACAUGUUUCUUGUAUGUCCCACUUGUCAGUGACCGGUGAAAGUGUGGCAAGAUUCUCUUAGACGUGGCAAACUGUGGCACAAAAUUUGAGCGCCUAACGCUAAGCACCUUAGGCAAGUGUGGCAUAAAAUUGUGUGGCAAAUUUUGACACCAUAAGUAUAGAACCAAACAACCCCUACAUGCACAUGCGCUUGUUUCUCUUGGGUUUUGGCCGGAUUCUCCCUCUGAACCUCAUGCUAGACCCUCGAGGCUGUGCACUAUGUACCCAGCUACUAUACCUACCUAGCACCUCACUCCGACCGCGAAGCUACUGCAUCUUGCAAAAAAAUAGUGCACAUGAAGCACUCGAACUUACGCCCCCUGCUCUAGAAAUUUAGAGUUAACCAUCAAACCACACAUACUAUAGUGUUUAGAAAUAAACAACAAUUAUAUUUGAAUAAAUAUCUUAAUAUUUAUUUAUAUGGUAUAUAACCACCGUAGUAAAGCAUGAUCAACUGGCUAGCAUUAAUGAAUUAAAUUGAAUUAAACCUCGUUUGACUAGCCGACUAUGUGUUGGUCCAUUAGUGCAAUACUCCUUCUAUUUUAAAAUAUAAUUUUUAGCCCCUUUUUCAAUUGAAGUGAAUGAUAAUAAAUAUAGACAUACCUACAAAACUAUAUUCAUGUUCCAUAAAAAUACAUUUAUAGGUUAAUUAAUAAAUGUAUCUUUAGUUUAAAACGAAUUAGAUUUUGUGACGGAUGUAGAAUGUCUUAAGUUGUAUAGUCGGUUGUGCCUAAGAUAGUAAAUAUAAAAAACUUAUAUUUUUAUGAAGAAACGACCAUAUGCUUGAGAUAGAAGACAACUAAUUGAUACAUUGAAUUUAUUGAAUACUCUAGUUAGUACAAUGAAUAUAGUAAGACAAUGUUUUAGAAUUAUCCAUUGUAUUACCUCUAUUGUGUUACAUUGUGUGCUGUAAGAGGUUUAGGAUUGGGCAUGUCCUCAUGGUAAUAAUUUCAACAUACAUCUUUUCUCUCUUUUUUCCUUAAGAUCAUCUAGGGAUUGAAAAAAAUGAAUUUGUGCUUAGAAGACUGUGAUGCAAAGAACUAGACUAACAUAUCUGUGUAGGAUCCAUCUACAUUUUUUUCUCUCUCUUUGUAUUUUCUCUCAAUCCUUUAGCGCAUAUGGGCUCGUGGUAGACAUCUCUAUCUCUACUUUUAUAACGUAUUUCUUCGUUUAGUGACAGAUUCAGAAUCGGAUGGGAUUACUAACCUAGCAAACAGGGACUACUAUAAAAUAUAUCAUCAAACCAAAAUAAAAAAAUGAGAAUAUGAAAUAACCUUACGGCCUUACCUAGCUGUUGGACACCAAAUGUGUCUCGCGGACGGUCCGGCCCUGAGGCCGGACGGUCCGCGGUCCGGACUGUCCGCGGUGGUGGCGCGGACGGUCCGCGCGUGCGCAGAAUCAGUUAGGGUUCCUAGUUUCUCGCGGGAUUGGUUACCUAAAACCACGGGAUUAACUCGGAAAUCAGUUGGAAGCGGAUCCAGACCUCCCCCUUUAUAUAGAUGAAGGGCUACGGCCGAUUGAACUCCCAUCAAUCGAACAAAUCAAGUCUAUUUCUCGUUUUUACCUUACGCAUUAGGAAUAGUUCUAGUCUAGUUCUAGUUUAGCCUCUCAAUCUCCAAAUUCUCCGGAUCUCUUCGACUCUACGUCGAUUAGAGGAGUCUAGGUCGGCCUGCCGAGCCUAGACAACACCUGGGAUCUCUCCUCCCCGACGGGGUCCCUCCCGGGAGCGAGAUCCAGGCGCCGCCGGCGACCUUCGCCACCCCCUGCGCACGCGCGGACCGUCCGGACUGUAGGCGCGGACCGUCCGACCGUCAGGCAGGGAACCUUUGCCCCUGCUCCAGGUCGCGGACCGUCCGGUCCCUGGUCGCAGACCGUCCGCGCCUGUGCAGAGAGCACCGCCGCCGGUUCUUGUUGAGUGUUUGGCACCCGAAAAAGGUGUCAACAUACUUUUGGCGACUCCGCUGGGGACGGUGUUUAGAUCUACUAAAAAUCAGGCCCUCAAAUGGCCGGUUCUAAAGAUCACACCGAUAUCUCCCCGGACAAUAUUCUGAAGCCGGCUGUUGAAAGUCUGACGGCCGAUGAGCAACAACAAUACGAGGACUACAUGUGUCAAGCGAGGGAGAAAUUCUUAUCACAAUACACGGUGGAUCGCCACCAGAAAGUUGUCAAACAUGGAGAGACCGACGUCGCAUCUCUUCUAUCUUCGCUUCAAGUCCCCGACGUAAGUAAACCCGACGACAUCCAAUUUAUUAAACAGUAUGUAGAUCAGCAGCAGGAUCAAAUGAAACAACAGAUUGUAGGGUUAGAAGAGUCAAUUAGAAAAUUAACGCGUACGUUGGAGAAGUCUGUUGCUCCUAGUUUUCCAUCAUAUGAGACUAGUAACAGGAUAUCUAUGUCUAAUACAUCGGCAACAAAUGGGAAUUUGCAGCCCCAGCCAUUAUAUGGUAUGCCGAUGAACUCAUAUACAAGACAAGUACCACCACCGCCAUCCCUGCUUGGUAGAUCGGCACCCAUGAACACGGUCGGACCGUCCGAGCUUCUGCCCGGACCGUCCGGCACAUAUGCAGACCGUCCGGCUUGCUCUGCCGGACAGUCUGGGGCCGCCCUAGGACCACCGCCGUCCCUGCUUGGCAGACCGGUGACCCUGGACGCGGUCGGACCGUCCGAGCUUCUGCCCGGACCGUCCGGCCCUUACGCGGACCGUCCGGCUUUCCCUGCUGGACAGUCCGGGCCCGCACCAGGACUACCACAUGGCGUCCCGAUAAUGGCGAACGCAACCGGUCAGUUCGGAUUUACCACCGGGCAAGCUGGAUAUGCAUACGCAGAACCUGUUGUUGCACACCAUGCACCAAAUUAUUACACACCACAGCAGCAGUAUGUUUCGCCCUCUACAUAUUUAAACCAUAACGUACCAUACAACCACAGACCGAUCAACACUAUCGAUCGGUCACGGCAAGAAGGUCGGUAUACUAAUACCCGACCAAAUGAGCCCCACAGCCCAGGAUCCGGUGGUCUGCCACCUGAUGCAAUGGAAAAAAUUAGGGAAGAGAUGACUGAACUAUUUCGAAUAAGUUCGGAGUUAGUGUAGCCAGAGUAGGGCAAUCAUACCAAAAGCCGUAUAAUCACCGGUUUGACACUGUCCCAUAUCCACAAGGGGCAAGGAUACCAGAAUUUUCCAAAUUUUCUGGUGAGAAUGGGAGGAGCACACACGAACACAUAGGCCAGUUCCUAGCACACCUAGGUGAAUUGGCCGAUGGAGAAGCAUUUCGUGUUCGGUUAUUUUCUCUAUCCCUUACUGGUACCGCUUUUGCAUGGUACGCCGCCCUGCCUCCUAAUUCCAUUAAUUCCUGGAAUGAGUUAGAAAGUAAAUUUCAUGAACAUUUCUUUGCCGGGGAAUAUGAAUUAGGACUAGCUGACUUAGCUUCAGUUCGACAAGGACGCGAAGAAUCGGUUAAUGAUUAUAUCCGGAGGUUCCGGGACACUAGAAACCGAUGCUUUCGGAUCCAUGUCGCAGACAAAGAGCUAGCAGGGUUAGCUUUUAAUGGGUUGCUAUCCUACUUAAGAGACAAAUUAGAUGGGACCCAGUUCUUUUCGAUAGCCCAGCUACAUCAGCGGGCUUUAGCCUGUGAAAGCCGAUUUAAAGAGACAUCAAAAUCGGCCGCCCGUACUAUACAUCUAAUAGAGCGUGAUAGUUCAGAUGAUGAAUCCGCAGAUGUAUAUAUCGCUGAGUUUAUUUGGCCAACAAAGGCCAAAUCUUCAGCAUGUUCUUCCUUACAGUCGGUUCAAAAGAAUCGGCAAGAAGAUAUUAAAUUUACCUUUAAUGUUGCCAAAUGCGAUAAGAUAUUUGAUGAGCUACUUAAAAAUGGCAACAUUAAAUUAACUCAUACUAUCCCUCCUAUAGAUGAAUUAAAGAGACGUGCUUAUUGUAAGUGGCAUAAUUCUUUUUCUCAUGCCACCAAUGACUGUAAUGUUUUUCGUCGACAGGUACAAUCGGCCAUAAAUGAGGGCUGAUUGGCUUUUCAGGAAAUGCAAGUGGACACACAACCAUUUCCUGUUAAUACAAUAGAUAUCGCAUGCAAAAAGAUCUUAGUUCGGCCCGAAAUGGCCGAUAAAGGCAAAAGCAAAGACAUCAUCAUUGGUAGUCCUCGCACGUCGAAUAUAUCACAAAAGGAGAUUGUUCGAAAGGCUCCGGAUGAUAAGGCUAAAAAGUCCGGAGGCACCGGGGGGCAGGCACAAUUAAUGAGUCAAGCACGACAACCUGUCCUGAGCAUCACGGACGAUCUGGCACCUACGUGCGGACGGUCCGGUGUUCAGAUAGACGGUUCGGCUAACUCUGCCGGACAGUCCGCCUAUGCCCAAAGGUGUCAGCCUCCACACAAAACCUUAAAAGGGAAGGAGACACAACGGCAAAGCACAAAUGGUCGGUUGAUCAAAGCUGACUCUACUGUUGAUCAGUUGCUCUCCAAGAAUACUAGCGAGAAGACCGUUCUACGUGAUCGGUCAACGAAGAAACCUCGGUCACCUACUAAAACGAAACGGGUAAACAAAACGGCCCGAAAGGCGACACAACAAGCAUCGCCUAUUCAUCCUAUGAGACCAGGGUACUUUCCACCCGUUUACUCAUCGUCAGUAUAUUAUCCUGUUCAAACAUGGAAUGGUACGAUGAUGAAUCCAUGGUGCAUGUAUAGUCCCUUUGUCUAUCCAUACUGGGGGGCACCUCCAUUCUAUUCCUUUUGAUUCAGUGAUCAAACGGUCAUGGCCGAGAAAGAUAAAAUCUGAAACGGCUGUUAUACAUUGAUGCUUUAUUAAAUGAUCUCAAUAUUAAAAAGCCGGUGACUUACAUCAGGUUUAGUUCAUAUGCUUUUGGUUCGUCAACCUUCACCAAAAGGCAGGGGGGCAUAUGUUGGACACCAAAUGUGUCUCGCGGACGGUCCGGCCCUGAGGCCGGACGGUCCGCGGUCCGGACUGUCCGCGGUGGUGGCGCGGACGGUCCGCGCGUGCGCAGAAUCAGUUAGGGUUCCUAGUUUCUCGCGGGAUUGGUUACCUAAAACCACGGGAUUAACUCGGAAAUCAGUUGGAAACGGAUCCAGACCUCCCCCUUUAUAUAGAUGAAGGGCUACGGCCGAUUGAACCCCCAUCAAUCGAACAAAUCAAGUCUAUUUCUCGUUUUUACCUUACGCAUUAGGAAUAGUUCUAGUCUAGUUCUAGUUUAGCCUCUCAAUCUCCAAAUUCUCCGCCUCUCUUCGACUCUACGUCGAUUAGAGGAGUCUAGGUCGGCCUGCCGAGCCUAGACAACACCUGGGAUCUCUCCUCCCCGACGGGGUCCCUCCCGGGAGCAAGAUCCAGGCGCCGUCGGCGACCUUCGCCACCCCCUGCGCACGCGCGGACCGUCCGGCCUGUAGGCGCGGACCGUCCGGCCUGUAGGCGCGGACCGUCCGGUCGUCAGGCAGGGAACCUUUGCCCCUGCUCCAGGUCGCGGAUCGUCCGGUCCCUGGUCGCGGACCGUCCGCGCCUGUGCAGAGAGCACCUCCCCCGGUUCUUGUUGAGUGUUUGGCACCCGAAAAAGGUGUCAACACUAGCACUAGGAGCCACAGUCUGUCAUUAUUGCACACUUAGCACAUUAGCACUAGGCCACUAGCACACUGCUCACGGUUCAGCUUCAAUAGUUUCUUAUAUAUAUUAAAGCCGGACAGAAACGUGAACGAUGAGACCAUCCACGUCGUCAAAAAAAUCGGGCCGUCCGAUCGCCAAUCAAAGGUUGAUGUCUCCUCUUGCUCUCUCGCUCGCUCCGCCUUUUCCUCUCGCUCCCUCUGCCUCUGGAUACUUCCGAUGCCUCUCCUCGCUCCCUCGGUCGCUGCUGAUGCGCCACGCCGCCGCCGGCGCCUCAUCGGCAGGAAUCAUAUGGACAGCCCAGAGGUGGUGGCCUCCGCGUCCCCGGCUGCAGCGGCGAGCGAGCGCCAGGAGAGGCCCGCGAGGCUGCGGCGGAAGAUCUCGUCCGCGUUCUGCGCCUGCAUGGGCCAUCCCCUGGCGUCGCACACGCAGCAGUAGGAAUGCUACGGUGCGUACUCAAAUCUACCAGCUGCGUGCGGUCCGUCGUGGGGUAUGGCUGACGAGCGGCCUGGGGUUCUCGCUCUCUUUCUUGCUAUGCAACAAACAUUUGUGAUUUGUGCUUACACGUGAGACCGUGCUUGCUGUAAGAUUUUUCUCCCCUCUUUUCUGUGGAGGUCAUAGGAAUCCCUCCACAUCGCCCUCUCCCCGUUGUCCCUCUCCCGUCAUUUCAUCUUCUCUUCCAGUCGUUUCAUCUUUCCCGGCAGCUUUGGCUUCAGUCAUCGGCUUCGCAAGUUCGCAUCGACAUGGGGUUCUAAUUGGACAACCUAAGGCUUACAACGAGUCGUGGUCUAACCACCCAAACUGACUGCUCAGUGACAGAAAUCAGACAGGUUGGUAUCUAAUGUUUAAAUAUAAUGGCAAAAAUUCUAGCACCUUGAAAAAGACAAACUCAGCACGCCCCAUUGUGCAGCUGAUCAUUUUUUAGCUUAUGGAAAAUUCAUAAUAUUAAACGCUGGAGCAGAGCUUGCCUCACGUGCUAGGGUCUUAGAGCAUCUCCAAGAGCAAGCAAUGUAUUCAAUAUUGAUUAAUUUUUUCAAUAUUUCAAAUGUUUAUCGAUAUUAUUGAGCUGUAAAUUUAUGAAUUCAUAAACGAGAUUUUCUGUCUGCUAAAUGGUUGCUUGCCAAAGAUUUGUGAUUAGAAGCAAACAAACUUAAUCUUCAAUAGCAAUUCUGUUCCACACAUGGCCCUGAUCCAUGUCUCGGUUUUACUUUCAACCGGAGGAUUUGGAAUUCUGGAACCAAGGAAUCAGAUACAGAGAAAUAGAAUAACAUAUAGAAUAGAGUAGUUUAGGGCAGAUUUAGAGUUUGUUAUUUUAGCCCAAUGGUGGAUGUUGUCUCUUCUAAACAUUCGCACUACUACUUUCUAUAUAUUAAGAGUGGGAGCCAAUCUGGAAUGCUAGACCAUCCGCAUCAUUUUUACGCCGUUAGAUCAUCCAUUAACUAUCUGAUUGUAUCAGUCACAUAUGAGUUUAACUGUAUGAUUGCCUUUUAAUAUCGUAGGAUUAUUGUGUUCAUUGGAUUUGACUGUCUGAUUGUGUCAGUCAAAUUUGAGUUCAUUUUGUUUGCGAGCUAGAAUGAAAAACAAAAUUUUGAGUGGCUCAAACAGGACUUACACUGGUUGCCUGCAUAUAUAUCGUGGGAUUCUCACGUCGUUGUUUCAUAUUUCAUUCGCACGAAUGGUUCUCGAUGGCCAGGACACAACCUCUGAAUUUUAGGCCACAACCAACUGCGGUCGAAGGAGCAAGUAUUUUUUACAUACUUUUGCCCGACUCCAACCUUGCUGGAUGCCGCAGUGCGCGGCUCAGUCGGUGCUCACUAUUGAUAUGAAAACAACCACUGUGACAUGUUUUGGGACACCAUCCAUAUUGCAAAUAAUAAAACAUACUUAUCUUCAAACAUUUAGUAACUAUGUUAAAUAGAAAACGGUCACCAUGCAUUCACCGAUCACCGGAAGGUGCUGCUUCUUAGGCAAAGAUACAUAUUUUAAUGUACGUUCAGUUUCAGGUAACAAAGAAAAUUAAUUUCUCUUGCAUGAUGAGACAACAAUAUAGAUGCAUCCCUUUUGAAUACAUAUUUAUGUUCUAUCUAUCUUCUUAAUUGUAGGUGUACUUGGUAAUUAAUUGCAUUGUAUAAUAAAUUGUAACUGAUUCAUAUCUCUAACUUCGAAUUGCAAACUUUUGAACGAAUAAUACUCAGUUCUGUGUUUUAUCAUGAAACCAGCGAGGAACAGAGAAUAAAAGCAAAAAAAAGGAUUGUCGUUAUUUGUAUAGAAUUGCAUUGUUUUGUUAGUACUGAUAUAAUAUCUAUAAUGUGCUUUCCCUAUUAGUACCAUAUUUACAUUGAAAUGAUAAUAUUUAUUAGGAUGUCUUUUAAUCAACAUAUAUCUUAUUCCUAGAUUCUUAGGCUCUUUUGCCCAUUCUAUUGUGUGCUUUCCCUAUUCAUAUCAUGUUUACAUUGAAAUGAUAAUAUUUAUUUUGAUGUCAUUUACACAGCAAAAUAUUUCAUUCCUAGCUUUCUAACAUUUCUUGGUGCAGCCUUGGAACUAGACAUAGGAGAAAAUCAAAAUUAUGUUUCUUUCUUUUUUGCAUAUGGUCCAAUAAUGACAAACAAUUCAUAUUAUAAAGCCACCAUAAUUGAUUCUAUACUUAUCAGUUAACUGUUUUUCCUCCUUGAUUUACUAAACUUGCUUCAUCUCAACCUUUCAUAUAUGCUUCCGGUUAUAUUCGUCAUAUGUUACAUAGAAAGGUAAUAUGUUUUCUUCUGUUCAUAAAUUUUGAAGUUGUGCAAUGCUUCAAUAGUUCAAAUAAUAACCAUUUUAGUUAAAUUUCUUACAGGUAUUAUAGAUGAACGGAAUGGAUAACCCGUAUACCCUUCUUUAAAAAUCAUUAAUUCGUACGUUAUAGAUACAAAACAUGUUGUUUUAACAAGUAACACCUCAUGUCCGUCAUGCGGGUACCUCCAUAUUUGUCACAUCUUUAUGUGUACCAAUAUGAUUAUAGAUCAUAUAUGUCCUACAAAAAUGACGUGCCUCAAGCUGAAGCAACACCUAGCAAAAUUGCCUUUAAAGUUCCUCUCCGUCUUUAUGCAGAAAGAACAUUUUAUAUCAUUUUACAUGUAAAUAUCUACUGAAUCAACUUCUAUCACUCAUCUAAGCAAUUAUUAUGAUUAUUGAUAAAUACAAUUAAAUUUAACUUAAUUACAAUUAAAAACGCGCGCUGGCGCGCGCCAGUUACUAGUAGCCGUAAGAGGAGCAGCAAAAACAAAUGCGCUAUGUGCCCGAGGCUGAGGCCUGACUACGUGAGGGAGUAAGGGCGGUGACUGGCGGGUACAUGCGUUAUGCCAAGCGAGUGAGCGGAAGCGCUGAGACAGUGAGACGCCUGAUGGCGGUGGGCUGAGUAAAAAUGAGCGAUUUGCCACUAUUUGAGGGUGGGUGGUAAAAAUUUCCCAUGUCAGUGAUUCGCCAGUGACACAUGAUUAAAAAGAUUAUUGUUCGAACCAGAAUUGAGCCGGCGGACUGUCCACGGUCCGCGGUCCGGACGGUCCGCGCCUGUGGGCCGGACGGUCCGCGCGUGCGCAGAACAGAUUAGGGUUCCGAGUUUUGUGCUACGGUUGUUAGCUAUAUUCGCGGGAUUAGCUCGGAAUCAGUUGUGUAAAGGGUCCAGCCCCCCUCCUCUAUAAAUAGAGAGGUCUACGGUCGAUUUGUAAUCAUCAACAAUCGAAUCAAUACAACUUUUAUUCGCAUUUUAUCCUAGGAGUAGUUCUAGUCUAGUUUAGGUUUAGCCACUCGAUCCCCAAAUUCUCCGCCUCUCCUCGACUCUACGUCGAUUAGAGGAGUCUAGGUCGGCCUGCCCGAGCCUAGACACCACCUAGGAUCUCUACUCCCCGACGGGGUCCCUCCCGGGAGCGAGAUCCAGGCGCCGUCGGCGAUCUUCCGCCGUCCCUGCGUACGUGCGGACCGUCCGGCCCCAGGGCGUGGACCGUCCGGCCGUCAGGCAGAAGUCCCAGUAGCGCACCAGGCCGCGGACCGUCCGACCCCUGCGCGCGGACCGUCCGCCCCUGUGCAGAGGGCACCGCCACGGUUCUUGUUGAGUGUUUGGCGCUCCGAAAAGGCGUCAACAUACUUUUGGCGACUCCGCUGGGGACAAAACAUCUAAGCUCAUCAAAUCGGCCCUCAAUGGCCGGUUCAAGGGAAAGCUCUGAUAUUUCUCCAAGCAACAUCAUAGAGCCGACUUGGGAAACCUUGCCGGCUGACGAGCAGCUCCAGUUCGAGGAGCACAAGGAGCGGAUGAUCCAGGAGGCGAAAGCAAAGUUCUUGGCCAACUUCAAAGUGGACAGGAACAACAAGGUCGUCCGACAUCGGGCGACGAAUCCGGCUUCGCUCCAACCCACGCCAGAUAUUCCCAAUGUAAGUAAUACCAACGAUCUGCACUCUCUUAGAAAUUAUGUAGAAGAUCAGCGUGAACAAAUGCAGAACAUCAUAGGGGGUAUGCAAAGCGAUCUUAAGAGACUAGUGCGUGCAUUUGAUAAAUCUAGUAUCACAAAUUUUCCUUCGCACGAGGUUGAGUUAGGAGGUAACACGCGUAACACAUCGGCUACAGGUUGUCACGACCAGUCACAACCCCUUUAUGGGAUGCCGAUGGACACAUACCCUGAGCAACCGCAAAUCGGUAGCAAAUCAGCCGAUCUGCACAUGCCCGGACCGUCCGCACGUGAGCGCGGACCGUCCGGACCAACAACAGUCGGGCCGAUUUUUAAUGAGUUACCUAGAUAUGCGCCCGAACCUCCACACACGACGCAGAAUCUAAACUACCCAGUCGGACCGUCCGCGUACAACAACGGACGGUCCGCACAUAACCACGGACGGUCCGGGCCAAUGUCCGGACAGUCCGCACAUGACCUUUUUGAGGAGGAUUGUUACCGGAAUCCUCACCCAUCCCAGCAGCACUUUCCAUCGCACUAUACAAUGCAUCAACCCAUUAAUUCAAGAUCCAGAGCCCAGGAAAGCUUUCCGGCCCCACCCAGGAGGCCGGAAAGAAACGAUCAAACCUAUGACUCAUAUAGGGCAAAUGAAAAUGCACCACGUGACUCAAACCAAUGGGGGGAAAGACAACAUGCUAAUAUCCAGCCAACCCCACCUAUGUUUGACCAGAGAGUCGGUGGUCUCGCACCGGCUGCCAUUGAUAUAGUAAGGGAAGAAAUAGCCGGGGCGUUCCGAGAUAAGCUCGGAGUAAGCAUGGUCCCUGGGGGGCAAUAAUAUCGGAAACCUUAUGACAGCCGAUUUGAUCACCACCCAUACCCACAUGGAACCAGGAUACCCGAAUUCGCAAAAUUUUCGGGUGAUCAAGGGAAAAACACACGCGAACAUAUAGGUCAGUUCUUAGCACAAUUGGGAGAAUUGGCCGACACAGAGGCAUUCCGCGUACGUUUAUUUUCAUUGUCACUAACAGGAACCGCGUUUGCAUGGUAUGCCACUUUACCUCCUAAUUCCAUUUCAUCAUGGGGGGAUCUAGAACAAAAAUUUCAUGAUCAAUUUUUCUCCGGUGACUAUGAGUUGGAUUUGGUAGAUUUAGUGUCGUUGCUACAGACAAAAGAUGAAUCGGUUAAUGAUUACAUCCGGAGAUUCCGAGAUACAAGAAACCGAUGCUUUCAAAUUCAUUUAGCAGAGAAACAGCUAGUAGGAUUAGCCUUUAAUGGUCUGCGAUAUUAUUUAAAAGAAAGAUUAGAAGGCAUCCAAUUCUUUACACUAGCACAAUUACACCAGAGAGCUUUGGCUUGUGAAAGCCGAAGCAAAGAAACUACUAAAACAAUCCGUCACAACGUACAUGUAGUAGAAUGCGAUCAAAGUAGCUCAGAAGACGAAUCAGCAGAGGUGUAUGCUGCUGAAAUGGUUUGGCCAAAGCAGGCCAAAUCUUCGGCUUGUGCCUCCUUACAACCGGUUCAAAAGAAACGGCAAGAGGAGGUUAAGUUUACAUUUAAUGUUGGUAAGUGUGAUAGAAUAUUUGAUGAAUUACUUAAAAAUGGCAACAUUAAAAUAAAUCACACUGUUCCAUCCGCCGACGAGCUAAAACGUCGUGCAUAUUGCAAGUGGCAUAACUCAUUUUCUCAUGCCACUAAUGAUUGUAAUGUAUUCCGUCGACAGAUUCAAUCGGCCAUUAACGAAGGACGAUUGAAAUUUCAGGAAAUGCAGGUGGAUAUAGAGCCCUUUCCGAUGAACGUGAUUGACUUCGAGGGCAAGAAAAAGUCCUAGUUCGGCCAAACACAGCCGAUAAAGGCAAAGAGACAAUCAUCGGCAAUGCUAAAGAGGCCGAUGGGGAUCGUAAAGUUUCUUGCAGGAAAGUGGUGGCCGAGAAGACUCCCGAUGGAGGGGAGACCCUAAAGGUGACCAUCACAGCCUCCAGUACCGGGGGGCAAGUGCAGACAGGGAGACAGAUGCAGGAGCCCGUGCUGCGUAUCCCGGACGGUCCGGCACGUAGGCGCGGACUGUCCGGGACCCCACCGGACGGUCCGGAGAGCUCCGGCGGACGGUCCGGCCGUACUCAGGAUUCACAACGUCCACGUACUUUCAAACCACGACGACCAGAGAUAGGUACGUGGAAAACAAAUACAUUUAAAGCAGCUGGUCGGUUGGUUAAAGCCGGCCCAACUUUUGAUCAAUUAUUGUCUAAAUACGUAAAAAAGAAGGCCGGCCCCAGUGACCGGCCAGCAAAGCGACCCCGCUCACCCAUUCAUGAGCAGCGCCAGGGUAGGCCGAUUGGACCACCCCACCAAUCGGAAGAAAUGAAAGGUCAUACUAUACAAGUAAGACCUAACAUACCUGCAUGGACACCUCCACCUCCAUACCCACCUAUGCCAUAUCCGUACACAUAUUUACCUCCGUCAUAUGUCCCAAAUCAAAUGUGGGGCAUGCCACCAUAUCCAUUUGGGAUGCCACAGUACCCCGCCUGGGGGGCACCCCAAACAUCUGUUUUCAACAGGUUGACGCCACCAGUACAAGACCGAUUGAGCACUGCUCAAUCCGGUCACCAGGCACAAACCCAACAGGAUUGCCGGACUACUCGGCCUUCAAGGCCGACCAAUCCGGCAGGGGGGCAUAUGCCUGCAGCAACUCAAAAAACAACAAAAGGGGACAUCAUCAAAAUAGGCACCGCAGAUGUUGUCAUACAGGGAGACAAUAAAGGGCCGAUGAUUUUCGGCGAAUCGGCCAACGCAACCGAAAAGGAUACGGCUACCAUCAAAACAGCCGAUCCAAAAUAAUCCAUGCCUCGAUGGUGCCCAGCGGGAUUGACACGAUCCCAAAAGAGAAAAUUACAGCGCCUAAGAGCAAAGGAGAGCCAGGAGAAGGAGGCGGAAAAGACAUUUAAUGACACACAUCCAUUAUACCCGCCACCGCAAAAGAAAUGGAGACCGAAGGCCGUUGAGAAAAAACAAACGACCACAGAAAUAGAAAGUCAAUCUGCACCAAACGCGGACCGUCCGGCCCCUACGCGCGGACCGUCCGCCGUUCACCAGGAGGUCUCUGGACAACCUACACCAGGCGCGGACCGUCCGGCCACCGCACGCGGACCGUCCGCCGUUCACCAGGAAGCCUCCAACGACAUGACAACAUCAAUGGAAGAGGACGACCUGCUGGGAGAAGACCUGGUCGACUACGAGGCUUCUCCAGAACACCCAGGUAUGGAUGUAAAUAUUAUUACAUUUUCUGCCGAUUGUACUAUUAUCGGCGACGAUGAACCUGUUGUUGCCCAGUUUGAUUUUGGUCCUAAAGAAGCCGCCUUUACUAAACCAAAAGAAUCGGUAAAUCAUUUAAAGCCGCUCUUCGUGCGCGGCCACAUCGAUGGGAUACCGAUUGCUAAGAUGUUGGUAGAUGGAGGGGCGGCUGUAAAUCUAAUGCCUUAUUCAUUAUACAGAAAAUUAGGUAAACAAGAUGACAAACUUGUCAAGACCAACAUGACCCUCAGCGGUGUUGGAACUGAUAGUUCGAUCAAAGCCAGGGGAGUCACGUCCGUUGAAUUAACCAUCGGGACUAAGACCCUUGCUGCUGCAUUCUUCGUCGCUGAUGUAGAAGGAAAUUACAGUUUAAUCCUAGGCAGAGAUUGGAUUCACGCCAAUCAAUGUAUACCUUCUACAUUACAUCAAAUGCUGAUACAGUGGGUAGGCGAUGACAUAGAACAAGUACAUGCUGAUGUAUCGGCCUGCAUCGCUGUGGUCGAUGCCCCUGUACUCUGGACUUAUGAGACUGCUACAUGUCUCACAGGUGUAGACUUUUCUGAUUAUCAAUUCAUAAGUAUAGAUAAGAAAGGUUUCAUUCCUGUAAUGCUAGAGCCGAUGGAGAAUCGGCUAAAUCCUAAAUAAAGUUAAAUGAUGAAUACACACAAAGUUCAUGAGUCUUUGGUCACGGACAGUUCGGCCGCCAAGGCCGGAUGGUCUGGUCUUUCACAAAAGAGUUCGGACUUUAAGACCGAACAUCCACCACAGCGAAAAGACAGUAUUACGGAUGAUCCGGUCCCCGAGACCGGAAAGUCCGCCAUCACACAAAGAUCAUCUGAUUCCUCUGUGGGGGACAUGAUAGAGGAAUUCAGAGAUCUUGAUAAACUAGGACAGGGGUUUACAUCGGCCGAUCCUUUGGAGGAGAUUGACAUAGGAGAUGGUAAAACUCCAAGGCCGACUUUUGUAAACAAGACCCUGGAGACCGAUUCUAGAAAUGAGAUGAUCGGUCCAUUGAAGGAAUAUUCAGAUUGUUUUGCUUGGAAUUACACUGAAAUGCCUGGACUAAGCCGAGAAAUUGUCGAACAUCGGCUGCCUAUUAAGCCUGGUUUCAGACCUUUCAAGCAGAAAGCUAGAACAUUUCGUCCAGAUCUUCUCCCACGAAUCAAGGACGAAAUCCACCGGCUGCUAGAAGCUAAUUUUAUUAGACCUUGCAGAUACGCAGAGUGGGUCUCCAAUAUUGUGCCGGUGGAGAAGAAGGAGUCAGGUAAGCUUAGAGUAUGCAUUGAUUUUCGUAAUUUAAAUAAAGCAACUCCUAAAGAUGAAUAUCCCAUGCCCAUAGCCGACACAUUAAUCAAUAAUGCAUCAGGAAAUAGAAUUAUUAGCUUCCUUGAUGGUAAUGCCGGAUAUAAUCAGAUUUUCAUGGCCGAAGAAGAUGCGUCUAAAACGGCCUUUAUAUGUCCAGGCUUCAUUGGUUUAUUUGAAUGGUUGUCAUGACAUUCGGUCUUAAAAAUGCUGGUGCUACUUAUCAGAGGGCUAUGAAUCUGAUCUUCCAUGAGUUGUUAGGAAACACUGUGGAAGUCUACAUUGAUGAUAUUGUAGUCAAAUCGGCUGAGUUUAGUUCUCAUAUAGCUGAUUUGCGCAAAGCCUUUGAUAAAAUGCGUCGGUAUGGUUUAAAAAUGAACCCACGUAAAUGUGCUUUUGGAGUUUCGGCUGGGAAGUUUUUAGGAUUUGUCAUCCAUGAACAUGGUAUAGAAAUAGACCCUGACCGAAUCAAGUCUAUUCGGAAUGUGGGGCCUCCGACGUGUAAGGUCGAAGUGCAGAGGUUUCUCGGCAAGGUGAAUUAUUUACGAAGGUUUAUUUCUAACUUAGCCGGGAAAAUUGAUGCCUUCACCCCUAUCCUUCGGCUUAAGAAUGAUGCUGAAUUCACUUGGGGGGCAGAGCAGCAGGAAGCAUUUGAUCUCAUUAAAAAAUACUUGUCUUCGGCUCCCGUGUUAAAAGCACCACAAGUAGGAGCACCAUUCAGAUUAUACAUUGCAGCUGAAGACAAGGUUAUUGGGGCUGUUCUGACACAAGAAACUGAGGGGAAGGAGCAUGUGGUGACAUAUCUAAGCCGAAGGUUGGUGGAUGCUGAAACAAGGUACACUUUUAUUGAAAAGUUAUGCUUAUGCUUGUUUUAUGCAUGCACCAAAUGUAGAUGUUAUUUACUGUCUAGUCAUUGCACUGUUUCUGGUCAAGCCGAUGUAAUCAAGUACAUGUUGCAUAACCCAAUUAUGAGUGGUAGAAUUGGUAAGUGGGCUUAUGCACUCAUAGAAUAUGACUUGGCUUAUGAACCAUUGAAAUCUAUGAAAGGCCAAGUCGUAGCGGAUUUUAUUGUAGAACAUCGGGUUAAUGAUAUUCAUGAACUAGACAUAUCAUACCUCACUAUUACUCCUUGGACUUUAUAUUUUGAUGGAUCGGUUUGCAAUGAAGGGCAAGGAAUUGGCAUUGUGCUUGUUUCACCAAGUAAUGUCUCCUUUGACUUCUCUAGCCGAUUGAAAACGUAUUGCACUAAUAAUCAAGCUGAAUAUGAGGCCCUCCUAUUCGGUUUAGAACUGUUAAAUGGUAUGGGAGUAAAACAUGUGAAGGUAUUUGGUGAUUCUCAGCUGGUUGUCCAACAAGUGUUAGAAGAAUAUCAAUGUCUUGAUGGUACUCUAAAUAGUUAUCUUGAGAAAUGUUGGAGCAUAAUCCAUUCUUUUGAUGAAUUCAGUAUUCAGCAUAUCUCUAGAGUUGAGAAUCAUAGAGCUAACAACUUGGCACAAGAUGCAUCGGGUUAUCGGAUAAAGAGAGGGAAAUUUCACAAAACUGAAAAUCUGAUAACCAGUGCAGAGCCAAAUUCCCAGGUCGCGGACCGUCCGCGUGUUGACGCCGGACCGUCCGAGGUUACCAGAAAGGUUCUCUUAAUCGAUUCGGCUGACAAUGAAGCCGAUACAAGUGAUUGAAGGACACCUAUACUUAAUUAUUUGCAAAAUCCCAAUAUCAGGACAGAUAAGAACAUUCGGCGAACAGCUUUCAAGUAUGUUUUGAUGAGUGAUGAACUUUACCGCCGAACGGUUAAUGAUGUCCUGCUUAAAUGCUUGGGCCUAAAUGAUGCUAUAUUAGCCAUGCCGAAGUACAUGAAGGAAUUUGUGGUACCCAUCAAUCAGCUCCAAAGAUGAAGUGGUUGUUGCGAAGGUCUGGUUUUUAUUGGCCUAGUAUGACAGCUGAUUGUUUCAAGUACUACAAGGGGUGCCAAGUGUGUCAAAAAUUCGGUGACCUACAGUUGGUCCCUGCAGCCGAAUUACAUCCUAUCAUCAAGCCUUGGCCAUUCAGAGGAUGGGGAUUAGACUUUAUUGGAAAAAUUCAUCCUUCAUCAUCAAAGGGGCAUCGGUUUGUGUUAGUUGCCACUGACUAUUUCACCAAAUGGACUGAAGCCGUUGCUCUAAAGAACAUGACGCACAAGGAGGUAAUUGAGUUCAUAACUGAGCAUAUUAUUCAUAGAUUCGACAUUCCCCAGACCUUGACUACAGAUCAAGGUACUUCUUUUAUGUCAAAGGAGGUACGUGAAUUUGCUGAAUUAUACAGAAUUAAGCUGCUUAAUUCGUCUCCAUAUUAUGCUCAGGCCAAUGGACAGGCCGAGUCUAGUAAUAGGACGUUGAUUAAUUUGAUAAAGAAAAAGGUAUAUGAUAAUCCUAAACAUUGGCAUAAGAUUUUGUCUGAAGCUUUAUGGGCUCAUAGAAUAUCUAAGCAUAGUGCUACUAAAGUAUCUCCUUUUGAGCUUGUCUAUGGGCAGGAAGCAGUGUUACCUGUGGAAAUAAGUUUGAAUGCUGUCAGGUUUGCCAGACAAAAUGAUCUAACUGCUACUGAUUAUUAUAAUUCAAUGAUGGAUAAUAUUGAUGAGGUGACCGACAAGAGGAUGAUAGCUUUGGGAGCAAUAGAAAAGGACAAGAUCAUGGUAGCCAGGGCCUACAACAAGAAGGUCAAAGCAAAAUCAUUCCAAGUAGGAGACUUGGUGUGGAAGACCAUUCUACCUCUAAGGAAUAAAGACCGAAAGUUCGGGAAAUGGUCGCCAAGCUGGGAGGGUCCUUAUAAAGUGAAACAGGUGAUGUCUGGUAACGCUUAUUUACUACAAACAUUACAAGGCAAGGAUUUACCUAAGGCUUUGAAUGUGCGUUUCCUCAAACAGUACCAUCCUAGUAUGUGGCAAGAUGCCUAAGAAAACCGAUGUGAUCACAUCGAGUUAGUUGCUUUUGGUUCGCCUAGCUCCACCAAAAGGCAGGGGGGCAUAUGUUCGAACCAGAAUUGAGCCGGCGGACUGUCCGGCCCUGAGGCCGGACGGUCCGCGGUCCGGACGGUCCGCGCCUGUGGGCCGGACGGUCCGCGCGUGCACAGAACAGAUUAGGGUUCCGAGUUUUGUGCUACGGUUGUUAGCUAUAUUCGCGGGAUUAGCUCGGAAUCAGUUGUGUAAAGGGUCCAGCCCCCUCCUCUAUAAAUAGAGAGGUCUACGGCCGAUUUGUAAUCAUCAACAAUCGAAUCAAUACAACUUUUAUUCGCAUUUUAUCCUAGGAGUAGUUCUAGUCUAGUUUAGGUUUAGCCACUCGAUCCCCAAAUUCUCCGCCUCUCCUCGACUCUACGUCGAUUAGAGGAGUCUGGGUCGGCCUGCCCGAGCCUAGACACCACCUAGGAUCUCUACUCCCCGACGGGGUCCCUCCCGGGAGCGAGAUCCAGGCGCCGUCGGCGAUCUUCCGCCGUCCCUGCGUACGUGCGGACCGUCCGGCCCCAGGGCGCGGACCGUCCGGCCGUCAGGCAGAAGUCCCAGCAGCGCACCAGGCCGCGGACCGUCCGGCCCCAGGCCGCGGACAGUCCGCCCUUGCGCAGAGAGCACCACCGCGCCUCGCACCAGGCCGCGGACCGUCCGGCCCCUGCGCGCGGACCGUCCGCCCCUGUGCAGAGGGCACCGCCACGGUUCUUGUUGAGUGUUUGGCGCUCCGAAAAGGCGUCAACAAUUAUGUUCACAUUCUUUGGCUCUACCUAUCCAUUGUAGAGUAAAUAACUAUUUUCACAAUAAGAGUUAUUCAUACAGUGACAAUAUUUAAUUAUGAAAGUUGGCUAAGUAGCUGAUCCUUUAGUCUGUUCUUUUAGGAUAAAGGAGCACAAGUCUUUUUUUUCUUUUUAUUACUAUUUGCUCUGCAUAAUGGGGCCGAUGCUUAUGUAAGCAAUCGGGCCGAAUAGAUCCAUGUGGAGUAGCUCAAGCGGCCUGUCGGUCGUCAUGAUGUUCUUGUGUGGAUGAUGAACACCAACUUGCUUCCCUGCUUGACAUGCGCUACAAAUCCUGUCUUUCUCAAAAUGAAUAUUGGUUAGUCCCGAAAUAUGUUCUCCCUUUAGAAGCUUGUGAAGAUUCUUCAUCCCAAUUGUAGCUUCACUGUUCACUUUUGCAGACGACCGUUGGCGCUGUAGCCGUUACUCCGCAUGGCACACCGGACAGUCCGGUGAAUUAUAGCGGAGAACAUUUUCCAGAAACCCGGAGCUGAGGAGUUCGGAGUGAUUCUCUCUGGUGCACCGGACACUGUCCGGUGGUGCACCGGACAGUCCGGUGCGCCAGACCAGGGCAGCCUUCGGUUGGUUUUGCUCUUUUUUAUUUGAACCCUUUCUUGGACUUUUUAUUGGUUUGUGUUGAAUCUUUGACACCUGUAGAACUUAUAAUCUAGAGCAAACUAGUUAGUCCAAUUUGUUUGUGUUGGGCAAUUCAACCAUCAAAAUCAUUUAGGAAAAGGUUUGACCCUAUUUCCCUCUACUCCAAAAAUUUGGGGCAAACAACCAGACCACAGAUAUCUUAGUGUUUAGAAAUAAACAAAAAAUAUAUUUGUAACCUAGGCGCUGUUCCCCACGCUUUCCCGCCUCGUGGCAACGUACGGGCACAUACCUAGUAUGUAUAUGAAAAAAAUUAAAAAAGUGUGUACCAGACCUAGUCUGUUGUGUUGCAUCUAAGGCCCAAGCCCAACACGGUGAUCUAGCUGGGCUGGCAUGAGCCAUGUGGAGAACGGACCAACCAAGGCUAAACCAUGCUGACCCACGACCUAUUUAAUAGACCCCACCAAUUUAGACAUGUAUACUCAUACAUCAGUGAUACGCGGCAGGCAGCGACGCAACCAAGACGAUGGCAUGUGCAAACGAGGCUACUAGGUGUUAGUGAAACAGAGCUAUUAGGUCAUCGAUUGAGAUACACGGGUUUUUGAUUUGAUAAAUUUAUGAUUUGUUAGAUUUGAUUUGAGAUUUUAGUUGUUUGAUCGAGGAUAGUUUUUCCCGGAAUUGUUUUAAGAUUAAAAAGAACUUGAAAAGUUCUCCAAAUAUAUACCUCGGCCGUAAGAUGACUAUAUUAAAAGCUAAAGAUGGCAUGAGCACCACUAUCCUUGCUCUAAUAACAACCACCUCGGCCGUAAGCACGGCGCGGGCAACGAGGCAGGUGGCCUGCGCGGCCCUUUGCAUGCCUUGACUUGAAAGCUGGAACCGUUGGACGUGCUACGUAGCCGCGACGUCCGGAACCAUCACUGUUCCAGCUGUUGUCUGACGGAUAGACGCCGGCGUCGUACCCUUUACACCUCACUCUCCCGGAGUACAACUGUAUGCCACACGCCCACGCCCACGUCCGAGCCUUUAUAUCAAGGGAAAUGCUGCUGGGCUUGCAUUGCACCGUACCUCUGGCAUCGAGAGAGCUCGCCAGCGUCCAGUUGUCACGCUCGGCUCGAUCGGGCUCUGCCAACUGCCAUGGCGGCGGCGUCCGGACGGGCUCCGUCUGCUUGCGCGCUCCUCCUCCUCUUCCUCCUCCUCGUUGUGGGUGCCGCCGCCGCCGCCGUCAUCGUCGUUGAUGCCAACCGGGGGGAGCAGGAGCAGGACUGGGACUGGGAGCAGCUAAGCGCGGCGUCGCCCUCGCCGUGGAGUCCUGCGCCUGCCCCCGCACCGUCCCCCGUGAGCUUCAUAGGUAAAACUCCUCCUCCGUCCCGUACGUGGUGGAUGCCGUACACGCUUCGAUUCUGUGUACAUGUGCUGAAUGACUAACAACGACACGGCGUCCUGCUCGCUACGAAUUAACGGACGUCGUCUACUGCACUGCAGACUGCGGGAGCGCGUGCGGGGCGCGGUGCGCGCUGUCGUCGCGGUGGAACCUGUGCCGGAGGGCGUGCGGGUCCUGCUGCGCCCGCUGCAACUGCGUGCCGCCGGGCACCGCCGGGAACCACGACGUCUGCCCCUGCUACGCCGCCAUCACCACCCGCGGCGGCCGCCCCAAGUGCCCUUGACGUACGCAUGGGCGAGGGAGGCCGCCGCGCGCGACGCCUCUCCUCUUGUCUUGUGUACCGCGCGCUAGCAGUAUACUACCCCAUGUAGUCGUUUGUACUCAGCCGUGUACGUACGUGUCUCCGGUGCGCGUACGUACGGUACGUCACACAUGAUGCGACUGCAACUGCAAUGCAUGCCUGACCCGACCGUCUUUGCCUGGAAUGUGUCGUGUUCUUCGUUUGCUGGUGCUCGUUUACUGGAUCAUGUGUGGCUGGGAUGCGAGACAAAUAGAUAUGGCAAUUUUACACGUGGAUUCGGAUAUCCGUUAAAUAUCUGAUCCAUCAAGUUCAGGGCACAAAAUCUAACCCACGGGUCUCACCUGUAUCCAACCUGUAGUUAAAUCAAAUCAGGCCGGUACGGGUUUUACCUCUCGCUCACAGUUAUCCGAUGAAUAUCCGUAAUUAUUCAAUCUAAUUUUUUAUCACAUUACAAAUCAGCCCAACAUUCCAUUAAUCUUUCCAACUCCCCUCUCCGGCAUGGAGGCGAUCGUCAUUCUGGCUGCAUGCUGCUACGCCCCUGUCGCUGCCGGAUUGCUCGUGUGCUGUGUUGCACUUGCAGCAAAGUUUUGCUUGCUGCCGAUUACGUGCUCAUGAACGCAGCUUCACGUCUUCCUCAGUAAAAAAAGGGCAGCAGGCCAAUCAUGUUCCGGACUUGGGUAAGGCGGCUGUACACAGCACCACUUGAUAAUGAAAUUUGCAUAGUAUGUCUGAACUCUGAACCGAUGAAGACGCCAGUGAAGUUCUUCUUCGCCUUCUUCAGUGGUUCUACACCGCCUGCGGGCUGCGGCUUCAUGUCCUUCCCCACUCUGGGCCAGUGGGCCUCGAGGCCUAGAGGCAGAAGUAAGCCCAGUAGCUUGGUGCAUUGGGCUUCAGAGCUCAGUCAGCGUAGCAACUGAAAUUGCUGCGGCCUGCACCUGCACGUUCUUCUUCGAUUUCUCAACGCACCUGCACGUUCUUCUUCGAUUUCUCAACGCCUCCGUCCUCUUGGGAGGAGUAGUGGUCUCGUCGUGGGGCACAUCAUGUGGCCGCUCUCAUCGAGCGCAGAAGGGCGACUGAUGGUAUGGUACCUCGCCGACCUCAAACCCAGCAGCAGGAGCUCCAGUGGCAUCGUGAGCUACCGGGUACGUAAGCAGGAGACGGUGGGAAAGAUCCAGGUCCAGCCAGGGUUCUUGCAAAUCCAUCCAUCCAAUCCGCCGCCUACAUCCCGCUGGGCGCUGGCCAUGGCCAUGGCCAUCCCAUUCUACCUCGGCCCCUACUUCGUCAUCGGCAGCCUAGUGCGCCUGGUGUGGGACCGCCUGGACCCGGGCAGGGUCAAGGCGUUGGUGCCCCCCGUCGCGUCGGGCCUCAUCUGCUGCGGCGACGGCAUCUGGACGCUGCCGCAGUCGGUGCUGGCGGCCUGGCGCUCGGCCGCUCGCCGGCGUCAAGCCUCCCAUCUCCAUGAAGUUCCUGUUCCCCAGACCUAGCUAGCUAGCGAGAGAGCUGAAUCCUGAUGGAGCAGGAGACUGAAGAGCUAGCUGCCUGCUGCUGAUCUGACACCACCACCACCAACCAACACGCUGGCACACUGCUGCUGUGCUGCCAUCUAGUGGGACCGCCCGGGGCUCGUGUCUUGUUGCUGCCUUGCUUUAGAAUCAGAUGCUUUUCAAUGUGUCACACACUGCUGCCGCAUAAAUAGCUGGUGCUUGCUACUAGUUGGAAGGAAGGAAGGGAAGCGAAAGGCAGCAGUAAAUUAAAAGUAGCAUAGCAGCGAGUACGAGCAGUGCUGAAUUUGGGGGCGGUGAAGUGAAGGAGCAAGCAGCAGCUAGUAGAUAGCCAGCUCUGACUGAGCUUCUGAACUGAGAAGUACAUACCCUUCCCCCUUCCUCUUUCUUCUGUAGCCUGUACCUCAAGUAUAUAGAACUGAUGAAUUCAGUGCUUGCAUUGCAUUGCAAUGCAUUGCAUGCAUGGCUGUAGAUGCCUGACACGAUUGCAACUCAUCAAUCAACUCUACACUAGUAGAGUAGCUAGGAGCAGGGCUGCAGGAGCAUUGUAGCUAGGCUUCGCGGGCACACAGCGAGGAUAGGAAUAUCUCGCAUGCCCCGUGGGAGAUCUGGUCGGUCCCCCGUCAUCUGCUCUGCAUCUGCAGCCGCCCGCCCCCCUCCGAUCCGGCGCGCCGGGGCAGGAAGGCUCUGGAUCUGCACAGCCCAGUGUCAGUGUGGGUCAACCGGCCGGCCACUGCCCAGUGGCGGUCCUAACAUUUUAGGAGCCCGGGACAAGGUUUCAAAUAUAGGUCCUUCAAAUUACUCCCUCCGUUUCUUUUUAUUUGUCGCUGGAUAGUGCAAUUUUACACUAUCCAGCGACAAAUAAAAAGAAACGGAGGGAGUAUUUUUUAAUAUAUAAAUGUUACUAAUUAUACACUCAAAAUACAUCUAAAAAUAUUUAUAUCAAAUAAUAAGUAAAUAAAAAAAUAUAUACAUAUUUGGAUAUUCAUUAUUUUGUUGAUGGGCUAUUAGAUCACAUGACUAGAAUUGGGCCCUAUAAAUUCGGGGGGCCAGGGCGACCGCCACUCCGCCCCGCCCUCAGGGCCACCACUGCCACUGCCAGGGCCCAGGGCCAGGCCUCUCCCUCCGCCCAUCAUUGCGGAUCAUGUGAUCCGUGUAAAAAAAAACUCGCUCGCCUGGCUCAUCUUGCUCCCACCUGCACAGCACACUGGCAUCGCUGGACCGCAGUGCAGUGUCAGUGUGCAGCGCGCUGGCAGCACAGCAGGUGACAAUCUCCAUCCAUGGAGGUGGAGCUCCCAUCCACGGGGAACAGGGGAGGUAGGAGUAAACGGUAGCAGCGAGCUGUUACUGCAAGAACAGGCAAUGAAAAUGCACUCGGCUGCCCUCGGGAAUCCCGCGAAAUCCCCCUCGCGUUCAGAGCCUCGUCGGGUGGGGUUGUUGCGGACCUGCAGAGCGCAGGAGCAGCCGCCGUGCGGGGUACUGUAGAUGGCAGCGCCAGCGCGGGGCAGACGGGCGUGAUUUUCACCACGGUUUGCUGGAGAAUGCAUGGAUGGAAUCGCUGUCUGCCUGUCUGUCCCUCACGUACGGAGCGGAGCACUCGCUUUGUCCUAUAAUAAAAAAAAUAACUGUACGGCUUGCGGUUAUUUUCUUUUUUUAAAAAUCAACUAAAAAUAUAUAAAAACACUACUAAUAUUUUUUGGUCUCCAAUGAAUUCACCAUAAAAUUAUAAUAUAUGGUUAAUAUAAUAAUAUGCAUUAUAUAUUAUAUAAAUUUGAUAAAACCUUUAGGACUGAGCGAUUGUUGCCAUGCCAUUAUGCCAACCAAACCAAGAGCCUUUUGCUGCUUUCCUGUCCCUCGCCCUCGUGUGCCACCAGAUCUCUUUUCGCCCCUCCCCCCACCACACACUCACAUCCCGACCCCACCCACACCAGCAGCCGAGCCGAGCCGAGACGAGGGCGCCAAUUUGCCAAAGCACUCACACCUCCCUGACUUGGGCCUGCAAGGUGCUGCUGCAUGGCAUUGGCGUGCCUGCGUGCUGCAGCGGUGUAACUGAUCUGCACAGCAAACACCACCACUCCCAAACCGAAACCGAGCUGCGGCUCACGCUGAAUUUCCCAGGUACUGGAAUUUCAAGCAUACACGGAGCUGGGAGCUGCUACUGACUACUACAGUAAGGCUUGGCAGAGAGCAUUCCUGUUCAUUUAAUUUCAUCAGGAAAUAAAGAAGAAGGGAAAACAUGGAAGCUUGGCCUCCGGUCGUGUUCCUCUGAAUAUGGACAGGCAGCAGCCCUGGGAACCAUGGCAAUUGCACAGCCAGGUUCAGGCUACGGCGAGCAGCGCAAGCGCAGAUGGAUUUCGAACAUGGCAAUUGCACGGCGCAGGUGCUGAACUGCGCCCCCCCCCCCCCCCCCCCCCCCCCCCCCCCCCGCGGACACGGAUCGUGUCUCUGCGAACCGUCAGCACGUUUUCUUCAUGUAUGGAUGGAUCCUCACUGGAGCUGCUGUGCAACUGCAGGAGAGAGGGAAAGCAUGAAGACGUUUCAGCGAAGCAGCACGACAAGCCUGACGAUCUGCUUCAGGACGAAGCAACACGAAAUCUGAAAGCUUCCCUGGCACGAGGAAUUCCCUCGAGUCCAUCCAGUGGCUCCUGACUGCAUCUUCAUAGCGGCGGCGCCGAGGAAAUCGUGGCUAGAAUGAGAAUUGGUUCGCGCGAGAUUUAGUUAGCCGGAACAAAGAAUUCUCAAAUCUGGCUCGCCGAUCGAAACAACCAGAGCAAAUGCAUUCGUCGAAACUGUGCAAGAUCCAGGGAAGGAAGGAACACAUCCUAGGAGCCAAGAAACCCGCAGCGAAACAAAGAAAAGAAGGCGGAACUCGCAUCCGAGGAGCCAAGCAACCCGCACCGAGAAAUUCACAAGGCCGGAACCACCCCCCCUAGCUACCUGAAUUCAACCCACAGAAAACCAUCUGAGCCACAAUUCGCCUCCGCACACGCGAGGGAAUUCAGGCACCCGAUGCGGCAAGAGCGAACUCGUUGUCAGCGAAUUGAAUUCCCCGAGAAUUACACCCGGGCGACCCAUACGGAGCCGAAAUUCAGAGCGGGAGGACCUAAAUUCCCCUCAACCGGCUGAAUUCUCGGCGAUGCUGGCACAAGAGGGGAGGCUGCAUGGUUUCCAUGGGCUUUCUUGAACCAUCAACAGGUAGAGCCGGCCGAGAGCGAGGCUGCGGGGAAGCUCCGCAGCUCAAUUCACGGCCGGUGCAUGGGGGAAGAGAAUUGCUAGCUGGGAGGAGCCAAGCAUUCCAUCCGACAUACCACCACCACCCACGAGUUCACAGUUCAAGAAAGCCUGUGGAAAGCAUGCCCGCGCACCUUUCUCCACACGUCCCACACCCCGUUCCUCCGGCGAGGGACACGCGCCGACCACAAUUCUACGCCGCCCACGGAGAGGGAGGGGGACUGGAACUGUGGUGUGGAGAGAGAGGAGGGAGGUGGUUGAGAGAGAGAGAUAGAGAGAGGGUUGCUUUGGAGUGAGAGCAACGGCCCACAGAGGCCGGGGGAUAUAAAUAGCUGCGGCAAGUAACCAACCAACCGGGCUGGCGGUGGCGGGUGGCGUGGUAGCGGCACCGGCAGGCGGCAGGCAGCGGCCAGAGCGCAGAGGCACGGGCCGGUACCCAGCCGUAGCCCCGUAGCCGAGUACUCUCGGUCCUCUCCUCUGACCUCCCUCUGUCUGGCUCUCUGCCCAUGGAUGGGCGAGGCUCAUGGCGGACGAAGGCAGCCAGGCUGCCAGUGCCAGGCCCCUCCUUUUCCGUGCGCCUGCCGGCACCCGCGCGCUCGCCAUUGAUUCGGCCUCGUUUGCGCUAGCUAGGACUCUAGGAGUAGUUCCCUUUCCUCCCUUUCUUUCUUGUGCUGCUUUUUUUUAUCCUCGUAAAAAAAAUGAAACCGUAGAGGUAGAGGACAGAGACGAAGCAACUGCAGUGCCGGCCGGGCCAGCGCUGCGUGGAUCUAUCCACCGAUCGCAUCACAUACAUACUACAGCACCGCUUGCUUGUCCUGCCUGCCUGCCUCAGCCGCUGCGGCUGCUGCUGCGCCCUAUCCCGGAUUAAAAACCAUCCCGGCCGGUCCAGCUCUAUCGCCGCCCCGAUCCCGCCGCUGCAGCGCUAGCCUCCUGCUCUACCUAGCGUUACCCGACUAGCGAGAUCGGCCUAGCUAGCUAGCUGCGCUGGCUGGCUGCCUCCUGCCUGUUCGCCAUGAAACGGAUCCAUCGUCGUGAAUUCGGGGACGAUGAUGAAUGCCGGAUGGGGUUCAGGGCCGAGGCCGGCCGUACGUAUUCGAGCUCGCUCGCAGCCUGAACUGAAUGUUGAGCGAACACAGUUUUUGCCAGCAGCCAAGCCACCAAGGAGAUUAGGAGAAAGAAAUACCUGCCACUAGCUUGCGAGCUCGCAGGAGAAGACGACGAACGGCAACGGAACAGAUCGGCCAGGCCACCAACCCCGGGCCAUGCCUGACACCGGAGCAGGCGAUCGAGAUCGGGCACGGGCGGCAGCAGCAGGCAGGAAGGCACACAUGCUCCUUCCAUUCUUCCAAAAGCGAUUUUUUUUUUAAAAAAAGAGAGCUUUGUUCGCUCGCUCCAGCCGUCCAAGAUGUUAAAAAAACAAGCUUUCCUCGGUGUCCAUGUGCCGCCCGGCCGGCUCCGGUGGGUAUCGGACAAGGCGGUCCGAGAUUUUCUAGCCCGUGUCGAGUGCCUCCUGCCCUGCCUUUCUUCGUCAUGGCCAUGUGUUUGCUUCAUACAGUAUACGAUAUAUACUAUAAACCUCUUCAUCUUUCCUGAAACACAAGCGUCUGCUACGCAUCUCCAGAGAAUGGGAUGACCGACCGGCAGGACAGCAAUGUAACGCACCCACUGGGCCAGUCCGCCUAAAGCCCACCAUCGCCAGCGUCGGACGUUCAUGCGCUCGUGCGCAGCCUAUUCAGACGGGCACCUCGCUCUCAAAACCUAGGCUGAGAGAGGAGGGAGGCCCGCCCUUAUAAGUGCAACACGGCCCCCUUGGCUAGGCGAGGUGGUACUAACCCAGGGCGUGCAUACCGGUCCCUUACAUCCCACCCCCCUAAGAGGCCCAAAGCUCUCCCAGGCAGCAGCGGCAAUGUAGGCUCCGAUACCAAUUGUAACGCACCCACUGGGCCAGUCCGCCCAAAGCCCACCAUCGCCAGCGUCAUACGUUCAUGCGCUCGUGCGCAGCCUAUUCAGACGGGCACCUCGCUCUCAAAACCUAGGCUGAGAGAGGAGGGAGGCUCGCCCUUAUAAGUGCAACACGGCCCCCUUAGCUAGGCGAGGUGGUACUAACCCAGGGCGUGCAUACCGGUCCCUUACAUCCCACCCCCCUAAGAGGCCCAAAGCUCUCCCAGGCAGCAGCGGCAAUGUAGGCUCCGAUACCAAUUGUAACGCACCCACUGGGCCAGUCCGCCCAAAGCCCACCAUCGCCAGCGUCGGACGUUCAUGCGCUCGUGUGCAGCCUAUUUAGGCGGGCACCUCGCUCUCAAAACCUAGGCUGAGAGAGGAGGGAGGCCCGCCCUUAUAAGUGCAACACGGCCCCCUUGGCUAGGCGAGGUGGUACUAACCCAGGGCGUGCAUAUCGGUCUCUCACAUCCCACCCCCCUAAGAGGCCCAAAGCUCUCCCAGGCAGCAGCGGCAGUGUGGGCUCCGAUACCAAUUGUAACGCACCCACUGGGCCAGUCCGCCUAAAGCCCACCAUCGCCAGCGUCAUACGUUCAUGCGCUCGUGCGCAGCCUAUUCAGACGGGCACCUCGCUCUCAAAACCUAGGCUGAGAGAGGAGGGAGGCCCGCCCUUAUAAGUGCAACACGGCCCCCUUGGCUAGGCGAGGUGGUACUAACCUAGGGCGUGCAUACCGGUCCCUUACAAGCAAUAACCCUGCGUCUGUGUUGAUGCAAUGCAAGGCAAGGCUGGCAGCGCUGAAUCUAAAGAAGGUCUGGACUCUGGACCACACCCCUACUGUUGCCAGAGAACUAUGCAUGGGCCGGAGCCGGACAUUGACUGUUCUGUUCUGUUCUCUGCUCUGCUCUGUGUGUUCACUUCUCUUGUACUACCGACCGUACACCGUGAAUCUGCCAUUGCCAUGACCAUGAGGUCCGGCUCCGGCGGGCGGUGCCUUCCCCAUGGCCAUCACCCGGCAGUGGGCUGGGCGUCGCUGUCAUGACGCCGCCACCCAUUCCCGUGCAUGCGAUGCGACAUCCACCAUAUGACGACAGAUUGAUUGAGCCACAAAGCCUGCCUUUGCUCUCCUGCAAAGGAUAUAAUUGUCGACCAAAUCCACUUUCACGGUCGGCCUCUAAUCCAUCGAAUGAUGAGCGGUCCCGCAGCUUUUCUAUAUAUAUAUUUUUAGAAAAUUACCAAGUUAUAUACACACGUAACUUUUGUAUAUAUAAUAUUUUACAGAGCAGCACUUAUUAGCAUAGUCUUUUAUUAUAACUUUUCUUGAUACAAGUUUUAUGUAGUUUUAUAGAUAACUGGGUACGAAAAUAAAAUCGAAUGAACGUUUGCCAUUUAGUUGAGUGGGUUUGUCGUCGUAUUCGUCGUUGAAAAGGGCUACCCAAAUUCGGCUCUUUGACGAGUGCUAAAUAAUUUGUCGAGUGUUUUUUUCGGACACUCGAUAAAGAAACUCUUUGUCGAGUACUAAGUAAAAAAACACUCGGUAAAAAUAAAACACUCGGCAAAGAAACCCUUUGCCGAGUUUUUUUAUUUUUGACACUCCGCAAACAGUUUGUUUGACAAGUGUUUUUUUUACACUCGACAAAGAGCUUCUUAAAAGUAGCCUAGAGGGGGUGAAUAGGCUAACCUAAAAUUUUUCACUAUAAACUUCGAAAUAUUGUUAAAUCUACAGUUUAACUGGUGCAUGCCAGUUCAACUGCUACACAGGCAAGUUGAACUACUUUGAAUCAGUCCAACUAUUAGGGUAACUCUAGACUAUGAACUAAGCGAAAAAUAUAUUGUGAAUCCCUUGUAGAGGACAAUGCAACUAAUAGGCAAAGUGAGUAUGAUGAAGAUAUGAGAGCUAUUUCACCAUAAGAUCCGCACGGCGAGAAAACAUAUAUGUCUAUCUUGCCAAAUAAGAUCUCAAUCACAGAGCAAUCAAGAACACAAGACACAAGAUUUAUCUCAAGGUUCGAUCACACCACAAGUUGUUUGACUAGAAAACCCGACCCAAACCGGUUGAACCGCUCUAGGGGGCAGUUCAACCGCCCCUGACAGGUCAGGCAGACAAUCUACUAGUCUGACUAGCAGACUAUCGCGCAGUCUGGUCAAGUUGACCUAGACCGGUUGAACUGCCCCUGACAUCUAUGUCGACUUGUCUACCAGUCUGACUGGUAGACUGUUUGUAAGAGAUCAGAGGGGUCAGGGACCAGUUGAACCGCCCCUGAGGACCAGUUCAACUGGUCUUGACCAGAGAAUUCAGGAGAGAAAACCUCAGUUCAACUGGCCCGGAGGCAAGUUCAACUGGUGUAUGAUCAAAGAGGUUCACAGUUGAAGUUGAAGUUCAACUCGAGUUGAGAAAGCUCAACUGUAGUUGAAGAAGUUCAACUCAGCUGAAGAAGCUUAACUCAGUUGAAGUUUAACUCAGUUGAAAAAGUUCAACUGCAUCUGAAGAAGUUCAAUUGCUUUUCAAUAAGAACACUCUCAGUUUCUCAAACCUAACCACGUUCAGACUUAGAGCAUUCAAAAGAUUUGGUUUUCAAAAAUAGCUAUUGAAUUUGGAGCUUGAGCUAUAGCAAACACCAUUACCUGUGCGAAAACUACUAAGGAAAAAAUAGAUCCUGCGACUCAAGAUAUACAUAAAAUUUUAUACGUCCACCACAUGGAGUCUUUUCAAGGGAACCACAUAUGUGUUUCUUUUGUUCUUGGAACUUCCUUUUUGAUUUCUCACCAGUGGUUGUGACUCCUUUAGUUCCUGCACAUUCUAAGCAUACACUAUGAGCGAACUUGUUAGUACCCUUAUUUGUUUUGUCAUUAAAUCACAAAAAAUCUCACUUAGAGUUGAUUGCACUUACACUUCUUUGUCGAGCGAUUUAUUUUGGACACUAGGCAAAGAACUUCUUUUCCGAGUGUUUUUUUCAACACAAGUCAAAGACAAUUUAAAAAUCACAUUUUAAAGCAGUAAAUUAAUUCAAAUAAAAAAGUUCUCAACUACAAAUUUUGUAUAACUCAUCAAGACGUACAAUUUAUAUUUUGAUCAUUUCCUCGUAUGACAGAAUAAAAGUAAAUGUGUUCAUAAAACCUAUAUCUCUCUCGUAGUUUAUGAAACUCGAAGAGAGAUGUACAAGAUUUGUGAAUAAUGUUAGAAAUAUCAUGUGAGAUGAACAAAUGAAUAAAUAACAACCAAAAUAAACUUUAUAGAUCUUGAGAAGUUACAGAAUUUUGUAGUGUCAACUUUUUUCAUUUGAAGUCAUCUUGUGAACGAAAACUACGUCUUAAUUUUUUAAAAAAUUGAAUUUUGAAAACGACCUCGAAUGGAAAAACCAUCAACAGAAAAGUUGUAGGUCUUGAAAUAUUAUAAAACUUUGUAGUUGACAAUGUUUUGGUUUGAAAUCAUCUUGUCAUGCAAAACUAUGUUUGAAUUUUAAAAUUUGAAUUUUUCAAACUACCUCAUAUGGAAAAAAAUAUACCAAAAUAAAAGUUAUAGGUCUUGAAAUGUAAUGAAACUUUGUAAUUGAUAAUUUUUAAUUGUGAAAUUCAAAUUUUGUAACCGGCCUUAAAUGUAAAAAUGAUAAGGCGAUGGGUAUGGAACGGGUAGUGGUUGCAGAGUUGUUCCCAUAAUUUUAAAAAUACUUUGUUGCUUUUUGGGGGUUUAUUUGCGAUUAGUUCGAAUCUCACCAUUCACAAAACAUGUAAAUUUGAUUCAAAAUAAUGGUGAAAAUGAUAUGACGAUAGGUAUGGAAUGAGUAGUGGGUGCGGAGUUGUUCCCAUAAUUUCAAAAAAAUGCUGUUUUUUUGUUUUUUUUGCGAUUUUUAAUUUGUCGAGCGUUUUUCGACAUUCGGCAAAAUCUUUACCGAGUGUCCGAAAAAGUACUUAUUAAAGAACCCAUUGUCAAUAAAAUAUUUACCGAAUAUUAUUUAUCGAGUGUAACACUCAGCAUGGUUUUACCGAGUGUAAAAUAACCGGACACUUGUCAAAGAAGGCAGUCGUAUAAUAGAGAGGUGAUCGAUCAACGACGGUCAUUGUGGGUACUGCAAAAAAAAAAAAAAAGUGUGUGCCUUUACAGUCAGACAGCAGAAUGUGCUUUGUGGUGGCGAAUCGAGGAAGCUCGUGCGUACACAUGGCCGCGAGGGGAGGUUGUGACACUGUUGAAGAGUCAGUAGCGCUUGGCCAGCCAAACGGACAGGGUGGCUAGCUACCGGUGCCAACCAACCACAGCGCCCUGCAUCCAUCCAUCUGUUGUUACCUGUUCUGUCUUGGCGUCAUCUACCUGUCGAAAAGGGGUCCCAGCUCCAAGCUCCAGCCUGACCGACGACGGCAAGUGCACGGCGCAUCCUAUCUAUGUCUAGCAGCAGAGCACGCACGGCACGAUUCAAGGCACAGGCACCCGUCGGGAAAGCGGAUUUGUGUUGGAUCUGAAUGAAAGCCGAUCCAUCCAUCAGCAUGCUGCAUGUGCCAUUUGUGAAUAUUUGAGCUGUAAAGACGAGCGGGCCGGCCUCCCAGACUGUCCGUGCAACACACACGCAUGUACGUACUAUCACCCAAAGAGAAACAGAUAGAUUCACAUGAACCGCCGCCGGCGACGCAGGCAGCAGCUUGAAGGUUUGUCUGUCGGCACGGCAUAUAUACGAGCCUGGGACCGGUACGUACGUAAGGUCGAUCAGGUGAUCCAUUAGCUAGCCGGACCUGGUAGUUUGCGCCAUGCCGUGCCGUGCCCCCCGCUCGCGCGCGCGGUGGCGCACAUGGCAAAAACAUGCAUUGCCGAUCGAGGUCUCCUUCCGCCACGGCCGCCUUUUUGCUCUGCAUGCGUAUGCGCCCGGCCGUACGUUGACAUAUAUGGCCGGCCACGCCGACGACGUAGGGCUCGUCGUCGUCGAUCGAUGGAUCAUGCGGUUUGUGCGCGUCACGUGCCACGUCGUCUAACCAUGUAUGCGUGCGCAUGGAGUCAUGGUGAUCGCAUUACGCGUAUGCGUACGUUGUUAUACGUACGUGCCAUGUGGCCUAAACCUUACUGGUCACCUCGAAUUCAGUUAUUGAUCAUUCAAAUGGGGCGGACUAAACCGUGGGCCUAUUUGGAUCGGCUUUUUUCUAAAAAUAUGGCUAUGGAGAGAAGCUGACUUAUAAGAAUAUAAGUGUUUAGCAACCUAGUUAUGGAGAGGAGUUGCUGGUUAGAAUCUACAUGUUUGGAUACCUACACUUUCAAAUGCCAGAUUCUGACUAUAAAAAUGAAAAAAAUACAAAUUGUCUCAUUAACCAGCACCUAAUUGGAAAUUAGCACAUGCUCUCUCCAUUAGAACAUUCUCUGUUACACGUACAUAUCAAGAGGUACACCGAAACAAGGGGAAAAGGACAUAAACUUUCAAGCUAGCUAGCUAGUCACUACCGGAAUCCGGGCCUUUGCCGAGUGCCAGCGGCUUUGUCGAGCGCCGCACUCGACAAAGUCCUGCACUCGGUAAAGAGCUUGUUUACCGAGUGCGGGAUACUCGGCACACAGAAACACUCGGAAAAUACUACUUAGCCGAGUGGAAAACACUCGGCAAAGAUGGUGCUCGGCAAAGGACCGUUAGUUGCCGUUUACAGCUGACGGUCGUCAGCCUUUGCCGAGGGCCAAAGUCCGGCACUCGGCAAAGAAUACUCUUUGUCGAGUGUUAAAUAUCUGACACUCGGCAAAGAAAGUCUUAACCGAGUGUUUUCAGUGGGCACUCGGCAAAACAUAUUUUUAUUUUUUAUUUCCCCAACCAAACUUUUUGUGGUGUGUUCCUACAUUAUAUAGACCUACAUGUACCAUUUUGGGACAAUUAUAACAAUGUUUUCAAUAGCUAGUAGAUUUAGUUCGUUUAUUUAAAUUUCUUCGGAAAAUUUAGAUUUCAACUGCAAGUCACUCGAAACUUAGAUAAUCGUGCAUGCAAAAAUGAUACAAAUGUUAUUUAGCACAAGUUACGACCGAUUUCAGGAGCGGACCGGAAACUUCGAGCGACAUGCUCACUAAACAUGGUCGUGAACUUGUCAUCCACAUGUUUAAAAAUUGUAUAAAACACAAACAAAGUCAGAAAAUCAUGAAACUUGUCCACGUGUCAUGAUAUCAUAUGUAGAGGAUUUGAAAAAGUUUCGAAAAAACUGUGACGCGCUAUGUGUAGAAACCUAAAAGAUCCACAUUGAAACUCUAUGAUUUCAUGUUUAGUUCUCUUAGGUUUCUACACAUAGUGUCUCACAACUUUCUUCAAACAUUCUCAAAUUUUUAUCACAACCUCUAUAUAUGAUAUGAUGACACGUGGACAAGUUUCAUGAUUUUCUGAGUUUGUUUGUGUUUUAUAAAAAUUUUAAACAGUUGGAUGGCAAGUUCACGACCAUGUUGAGUGAGCAUGGUGCUCGAAGUUUCCGGUCCGCUCCUAAAAUCGGUCGUAACUUGUGCUAAAUAGCAUGGAUAUGAUUUUUGCAUGCACGAUUUUCCAAGUUUCGAGUAACUUGCAGUUCAAAUGUGAAUUUUUCGAAGAAAUUGAAAUAAACAAACUAAAUCUACUAGCUAUAGAAAAAACUUUUCUAAUUGUCUCAAAAUGGUACAUGUACGUUUAUAUAGUGUAGAAACACAUCACAAAAAAUUUGGUUGGGAAAAUAAAAAAUAAAAAUGUUAUUUGCCGAGUGUCCAAAAAUGACACUCGACAAAGUAGCCUUUGUCGAGUGUCAGUUGGUUGACACUCGGCAAAGAAUAGUAAAAUAAUCUGUGCCGAGUGCCCCCGAUCUGGCACUCGACAAAGUGUAUUUUAAAAUUAAAAAAAAUCUUUGCCGAGUGCCAGAUCACGGGCACUCGGCAAAGCACUCGUACAUAGCAAAUGUAAGUCCUUUCUUUCUCACUCUCUCACUCUCUUCUCACGCGCCGCCGCCGCUGCUCUCCACGCCGCCGCCGCUGCGCCCUCGCCCGCUGCGCCCCUGCCCGCCCUCGCCCACCGCGCCCCUGCCCUUGCCCGCCGCGCCCUCGCCGGCGCCCCUGCCCUCGCCAGCUGAGCCCUCGCCCGCCACUCCCCUGCCCUGGCCCGCCGCGCCCUCGCCGGCGCCCGCCCGCCGCGCCCUCGCCCUCUCACUCUCACGUGUCGCCGCCGCCGUGCACUCGCCCGCUGCGCCCUCGCCCGACCACCGCGCCCUCGCCCCUCGCCCGGCCGCCACGCCCGGGCCCCUCGACCUCGCCCGACCGCGCACGCCUUCCACGUCGUUGCGCCUCGCCGCCGCUGCCCCCACGCUGCCGCGCCCUCGACCGUCGCCCGCGCCCCGUCGUCUCACCCGCGACCCACCGUCACGCCCGCGACCAAACCUCUAAGGUGAUUCAUAUGAAAUAAGUAGGUUUAAUACUGAGUCAAAUUUAUAGGUUCUUUGUCGAGUGUACUUGCUCUGGCACUCGGCAAAAAAGCACGUUUUACCGAGUGCCAUACCAAGCAUUCGACAAAGUACCUGACAUAGGGACCCCUCUGGCGGAUUCUUUGUCGAGUGCUGUUAGGCAGACACUCGGCAAAGGUAACUCUUUUGCCGAGUGUCACCUGGGACACUCGGUAAAGACGCUGUCUCCGUCACCCGACGCCGUAACAGCUGUUUUUCUUUGCCGAGUGCACGAGAAAAAGUACUCAGCAAAGAAGGCUUUGCCGAUAAACUGUAUGCCGAGCCCUCUUUGUCGAGUGCGACACUCGGUAAAGCUUUUGCCGAGUGUUUUUAAGAGCCGUCGAUUCUGGUAGUGAGUCUAGAUCGGACCGGGCGACCUGUCAUCUGUUCCUGACGUCAGGCCCUGACGGGACGGGGUCCGACCGGUAACAACGGCGGGCAUACAAGGACGUACGGACGGCCAAAUGGCCAAUGCAAUGAACCGACACAAUCUCGCUUGCGAUGCAAUGGAAACCAGCAGGGCCGAACCUAGGUUAUAUAUAGAGUUGAGUGUAUGUGGAGAAGCAGGCCAGGAGCCGAUCAACCGACGGAGCCACGCCACAUCUUCUUCCUCCGUCAGCCACUAUAUAUGGCAUUUUUGCUAUCAUGAUAUUGCUAGCAGUAAUUAUAUUGGAGAUAUUCUCUACGGUCGUCCAGUAUUCGAUUUGGCUCUUAUUCUAAUGAUGAAAAAUAUCAGAAUAUAGAUAAAAUAUUUAUAACUACUGGUCUAUCAACAGAUCUAUAUUUUGGAGAUUUAAUGUUUUCAAGGGGGAGGAUGAUGAGUCCAUGACUCAUCAAAAUACUGUUACAGAAAAUUAUGCCGGUAAUUCUCGUGAUGAGUCAUCUAGUUUUCCAUUUGGUGAUAUUUCUUUGAAGGAAAAAUAUAACAUGAAGAAGGGAAUAUUCAAGGCUAGUGGAAUGUUUUCAAAUAAUUUUUUUAGAGGCGUCAAAUUUAUCAUCAAGAUGAUAGAAGAAAAAAAAAAGGAACCAAACAUGAUUUAUAUUGAUUCCAUGCACAAGGCGAGAUUCCUGAUGCUGCUGUUCCAGCUUAAUUGGCUUCUAUGGGAGAUGGCGUGAUGAAUCUGAGCCAUUUCAUACGAAGGAUAGCGUGUUCCUCUCAUCAACCUCUUGCUGAUCCUUCAAGGAUUGUGUGGAGUGCGUGAUCCAGCUGCUACUGCUGCUUGGUGUGCAUCGGAUUUCUGGUGGGAUCCCCAUCUCCUGAUCGUGGUACGUCAUGACCGCCAGUGGAAGAAUGUAUCUAGGGUUUGGUUUGCAUCUCUUGUAAGCUGAUCCCUCCUAUCUUCGUAUUGUCGCUACUGCUUGUAGUUGAUUGAUCUAAACGAGACUAUUGGGUUAUUAUUGAGGAGUCCAGUUAUUGCCUACAGCUAUUUUUGUGUGCGAUCAUCUCAAGUUGUGUGGCUGCUGCAGUUUGAUUAUGGCAAGAGAAUAUCUACGUAGUAGCUUGUUAGAUCAAUCGUCAUUGGGAAUAAUCUAUUGUUCCCUAGCUGUUCUUUUCUCAAUAUUAAAUCAUUCACCCAUUAUAUUUAGAGUUGGAUUUAUUUUCCCUCGUCACAUACUAGUGGUGAUUUCGGUUCAACAAAAUUUAGAGAAGCCCUGAUCUGUACCGUGAAAGAUCGGGAAAUCUUACGGGCACCACCGUAGCAUGUCUUUAUUAUCUAGUAUGAGAGCUAGGACCCAUCUUAAGUUGGAAAUGAUGAGUACAUCAUCCACUAUUACCUGUUGGCAAAGAUAAAUGUAGUCGGACGGCGACCGUGUAAGCCUUAGAAUUAUAUCACCUUGCAUAACUUGUGAGGAAAAAACCAUCUUAAGGCCUAGUUUGGAAACUCUAUUUUCUAAUGGGAUUUCUAUUUUCUCAUGGAAAAAUGAACUAUUUUUUCUUAGAAAAAUGAAAAUCCUUUCGAAAAAGUAGGUUCCCAAACUAGCCCUAAAAGGGAGAACCACCCUUCCCCAUCGGACUAGAAUUUUGGGGCGAUCGGAUCUCUCCCCGAGUUUUGUUGUACUUAAUGAACUGUUAGGCUCCAGAUAACCCUAAUUUGUUGGCUCUCGGUUAACCUCACUAGGCUGGGUGUAUCAUUUUCCUAUAUACAUGUCCGUGUAUUAGCAUCAAGGAGGCACACAUUUUUCCAAACAUCCUAGCACCACUCAAAGCCGCUGUCAGAUUUAAUCCUGAUGUCCGUUUCUUCUGCAGCAACCAAAAGCGUGAAGCUUCCAUCUUCAGCCCUAUCGAAAAAGGCAGUGAUGAUGCAUGGUGCGGGAUUUCAGAUACUGCAAUUUAUUGCAAUGCCAUCAGCACCUUAUGAUUGUCUGCAGGCAAUGAAUGCGCAGGCCACAUGGUACUUCAGCAUCUGCCAGAGCUGUUCUACCAAAUCAAUGUGAGUGACAUGAACAACUCCUCUCCAGAGUCCAGAACAUGGACUGUCAUGAGUGUUGCGUCCCUGAACAACUUCAGUUACUCAAACUAAUCUGUUGAUGGUCAACUGAGGUUCACAAAUCAUGAUUCCAGGUAACAGAACCAUCUUGACUCGGAACAACUAAUUCCAUACACUGCCUCAGUUGCUGGAACAGUAAGAGUGUAUCACUGAAACCUACAUGCGAAUGGAACUGUUUGUUAUGUCAUGACUAAUAAGGAACAUGAAAAAAUGAAGGACUUAAACUCUAAUAAUAUAGGCCUCAUUACCUCUAGAGAAGUUUUGACCCUGAAUUAUCCUGCAACUUGCCAGCAUUCGAGUAUCGCAACAGAACUCUGGAAAUUGGAUAAGGGCACCCAAAAAAUCUAAUAAUAUUAUGCAAACCCCUCUCUCCAUGCAACGCAUUCGGUGAACUUAGAUGGUUGAGAUAUGUGUUUCCUUCGUAGAUAUAACUAAGCUGCUGGCACAGUAGUACACCUAUACCAGCAUUGACUGAUAAACUAGCGAAUGCUAGAUAUACCAGAACUAGACCUCUUGCUGACAAGAAGAAGGCAGAGCCUGCAACCGUAGUAAUAAUCUCCAACCAUAUUUUCCAAAAGCUCAUUGAAUCACGAGAUGAUGCUAGGUUUGGAAAAUCAACAGAGGGCCAUAUCUGGUAGCUUGCAUAUAUGGUCAUCCCAGCAGCAUAAGAACAACUAAUGACCACAGAAAUAAGAAAAAUGACAAACACUUGAUGAUUUGAAGCUCCCACACAGUUGCCAAUCUGCACUUGAACAGAAGGGGUGAUGAAUAAACAAGUGAAGUCUAACAAUCAACAAAACAAUAAUGUAGCAGAAUGCAGUUAUCAUACUUACAAAUGGGCAGUGAUGAUCCAUGUCCACCACACACAUUUUACAAGAUCGGCAGUGAUGUGCUCUGGGGGGCUUUGGUUUAUUACAGUAUGUACAAAAAGUAUAGUUCUCAAGAUCCCUUUUCCCAACCAAGGGAUAGCUGCCCCAACGUACAUUUGUUGGCGCGCCUGCAGAUUUAGAAGAGGCCAAGCAGUAGCUUGUGAUGGUAAAUACAGCUAACACAGCUGUUACCAUGCAGUGAAAGAUGCCACAGAAGUUGCUGAUUUUGAAAACAAUAGGAUAUACCGCCCAGACCCCACCACCUGUGUCAAAACAAAACAGCAGCCUAAUUAAUCAGCUGGCGAAGAGAUAAAAUCGUUAGAUAUCAAUAGAAGAGCUGCAUGGAAUAGACAAAUAAAUGCAAGAGGUUACAAAUUGUGCCGAUGGCAAGAGGACAGGAACAUACAUAUCACAAAGAGCAUGAAGAGGAUGAGCACGGUGACAAAGAAUCUGUCCCGCACGCGCCUCCAGUGGGAAAACCAUACACUAUCAGGUUUCCUUGUGGUCUGGUUACUUUGCGUGAUGGCUCCACACCAGCCACACUUAUAGAUAGGCGAGUAACCCGCAAAAACAAGCCGGAGCCCACAGCCCCAACAUGUGGCUUCAUGAUCUUCCGGUAUGGACGUGACGGAUUGCUCUACCUGAACAAAAAGAGGCUGGCAAUCAACACAUUGCUGCAGAUGAUACUACAGUUGUGCACCAAUAAGGAAUAGCAUACUUGCAGAUAGGGGUGGUAAUGGAUCAUGAUCCAAAUAUUUGUUCAUAAAUUGAUAGGUCCCUAGAUUAUUUUUAGUUCAAAAUGAAUAGAAAUAGGGCCCGAUCUGAUCCUUAUAUUUUAUAGUGUAAAAUUUAGAGCCCUACUUGCAGAUGAGCAAAAUCAUCGGAGGACGCCGUUUACCAACCAUCCUUCGCACAGGACUCAAUGCCAAAGUAAUAACUUCCAAUCCAUAUCUACAACCACUUCACUCGAAUACUGAAUCUAACAUAAUAUCUGCAUUUUUUUCACGAUUCUGAUACCGUUGCAGUUCGCUAGUGUUUGGUCGACGAUCUCUUACCAUACAUAUACGUAUCCAUUAAGUAUAAACCCUAAACUCGACUGGACUCGGCUGGAGUAAGGUACCCAUAAAAGGGCCUUGUGGCCAAUCUCUGGUGCAAAAUCCAUGGUAAUCAAAUACGGUAAAGAUGUCACAGACUGCUUUUGCUAUGGGCAAGCAUCCAUCCAGGCCAACCAACCCGCGCUAUCUGAUGACUUCCAUACUCCAACGCUAGGGACACAUGAAGCAAGAAAAGAAGGGUAACCACCGCUACCCGAGACUGUCAAAUCUCCCCUUGGGUAGUGGCCUAGCUGCAUCAAAAGCGCCGCGAAGUACGGGGCUCCUGUCCGUUGCCCAUCGGCGCUUGUCUCCUUCUUCUCCGUAUUCGAAAUGGUCCGUGCAGGGGCGCACAGAUGGGAGGCCGGAGGCGCAAGAUGCACGCUUGGAUGAAAAGAAAGGCACGAACCUCUAGCAGCGGGCGCUGCUCCCGCUCCGGCUCCGCCAUCGCGCCCGUCGGCCGGAGCGGAGAUCCACGGGGCGAGGCCGCGAGGGAGACGGAGAGCAGGACUGCAGGAGGCCUUCGGUCCGGAUCGGCGCGCGUUGGUGGGAGACUUCGCAGCCUGGAGCCGUCGCGGAGGAAUGUUUUUAGUUUUCGCUGUGGAUAUUUCAACGACGAGCAAAGAAGGCGCUGCAAAGACAAAAGAGAAAAGGGUGGAUGGGGCGGGGCGGGGCGGGGCCGGGGCCGGCACGGGGACGAGGGCACGAGGCGAUCCGCGAGCCGGCGGACGCGUCGCCGCGCUGGUUGCUGGUUAAGCCAAGGCUCCAAGCCUUCGAUGGCAGUUGAUUGCGACGUGGGCUUAUUACCACGUUUAGAUGAGUGGGGACUGGGGAGUACCCGAUCCCAACAUUCCAAUUAUAAGAUAAAUUUAAUAUUUUAAAAUAGAUGAAUAUAGAAUUUAGUGCUAAAUUUUAGUUAUGUUGUUAAGUAUAUUAUAUAAAACAAAAAUAUAGUUAUGUACAACUUUUGUGUACAUUAUUUACUCACUAUAACAAAAGAGACGAAAAAAAAUUGAAUUCGAAUAAUUAAUUUGAGAAUAUAUAGAAUAAAUUUUAGGACUAAUUUGCGUGGAUCUUAACAAGCUCAAUGUUGAAAACAAAAAUAUAUAUUUAAAUAGCAGAUUUUAUAUCCUAUUUAUUUAUAAUUGGAGAGAGAAGAUAGAAAAAUUAAUUUUCAAAUAAAUAUCCAAAAACAUUUUAGCUCAAUUAAUCACUUUGGAGAUGAGAGUAUGUAGGUUCUCAUACGACGUUGUUUGGUGUGUUUACGAGAAAAAACGGUCAGUUUCUGCAGAUAAGUGUUCGUUUGAGAGGGCUUUGGGAGGCUUAGACAAUUUGACGGAGCCCUCCCAAACAUGAUGCAAAAAAAGACUUCUCAACGGGAGCUCAAUAAUAGCGGAAGGUAUUUUAGGUUUGUCAAUGGGAGCUCAAUAGAAACGGAAGGUACUUUAGAGUGAGAUUCGGAGCCCAAAAAUAGCUCCCAGCGGCUCUGCGACUAUGCAAGGCGCAAGCAUAGAGACGGCGCAUGGGCGACUACAAGCGCAGGCAGCGAGCACGCGUAGACAGCACCCGAGUCGCUCUAGAUUAAAGUCGGCUGUUUAGAGUGCUGCAACGGCAAUCCACUUAUAGAGAUAAAAAAUAUUAUAUAAAAUUAGUAGAAGUCAGUACAGAUUAAAGCCAAACGAAUGACCUCACAGUCGACAUCCAAAGACGGCGCAGAGACAGCUGACACGCAACACGCGGUGUUCGUGACGCGGCCUACAACACGAGGUGUUCGUGCAAAUGUCUAACAAAGACACUAUGGACAUGCCAAAUUAAAAAUAUUCCUAUGGAUGAGCAGCUACUUCAGAGUCAACCGACGAAAGGGCCUCUAGCCUAGUGGUUAAGGACUUCCGAGUAUCACCUCCAAAUCCUGGGUUUGAUUCCCCCGGAACGAAUUUUCAGGCUUUAUUAAAAAAAACCCUCGUUGUGCCCUAUCAACUCUCGGGUCUACUCUGUUGAUACCGGGAGGACGGUCUUUCCCUCCCCGGCCGAGUUUUUUACUUCAUAGUCAACCGGAGCCAUUUUCAGAGGCCAAACAGGCUGAAACAGUUCGAUUUCACGACGAAGUACUGUGAGCCUCUUGCGGGGGUUCCUAGAGGCGCGUGUCUUUUCAUUGGUAACAUCCAUCCCCUCGAUCGAUCUCUCUCCAGAGUACUAGACCUCGCUACCAGCGGCGACUAGCUCUGCAGUCUGUAUGUAAAGCUUUACAAUGUGGUUGAGCGAUAUUCAUUCUUCACAUCCAGGCUCACAAAAUCAAUCUGAAAACACAUGCACUGAUGCACACUUGUGUUUGUGUAGAGGCGCGAUUGGCCAGCUUAUAUAUAUAUCAUCCGAAAGACAAGUCACUCACACGCACAUUCGCAUUGGCUAACAGAAGCUAUUUGGAAUGCAGUUCACUCGACUAACAACGUAGGUAACCCCCGUCUCCUUGUUUUGCCGAUGUUCACUUGCAUCGCCAUCAUAUGUCAGCAGCAAGGAAGUUGCCAGACAAGGAAACCUGCCAAUCGGAGAAGCAGCAGCAGUGAACGUUCAGAAUCCA
RNAcentral lists this long non-coding RNA (47820 nucleotides) under Zea mays. Its description in RNAcentral is "long non-coding RNA (ZMAY_LNC000647)". Lineage: Eukaryota; Viridiplantae; Streptophyta; Magnoliopsida; Poales; Poaceae. The record is from RNAcentral.